AAUUCUAUUUUUAUAUAGAUGGCUAGAAAUUAUUUGUGCAUCUUGUGUUGUGUGAUUAUUUCUUUUUUAUAGGCAAAGAAGUUGGGUAGACAACCAACUCAACUUGAACUAUUUCGUGCAACUCACACAAAAAAGGGGAGUCAAGGUGUUUACAUUGAUGAAAAAUCACGACGAGUUGAUGUAAGUUACUUUUGGCUUAUUUAAUGUUAUCACAUUAUUUUUCUAAUUGUUAUGUUAUCAUUAGUUGUGUAUGGUUCAUGAAAUGUUUAUUAUGUUUUCUUUUUUUACUUAGGGAGCUUAUUUGAGUGCAAUUGCUGAAAAUGUGAAUAACAAUUGUGAGAGUCAGUCUGCUUUUGAUUUGAAUAAGUGGAUUGAAAUUUCUGGAAGUAGCAAAGGAAGAGUUUAUGGUUUUGGAUCCUCUGAUAUUGCAAAAUCAGAAACUCCAACUACAUCUUUCUCAUGCACAUCAGCUCAUCCUGGAGGACCUUCUCAAACUAUGUUUUCUUUAGAGGAGGUUGAACAAAUAUUAGAGCAAAAUCGGAUCAAAAUGAAACAAGACAUGGAGCAAAUGCAAGAGCAAAUGCAAGAGCAAAUGCAAGAGCAAAUGCGAGUGCAGAUAGAAAAACAAAUAAAAGAUCAGAUGAAAUCAUUGAAGAACAAAAAUAGAUCUUCACCGCAUAACACAACUGCAGAUUCAGAUGGUUCAACAAAUUCAUAGAUUAGUUUUAAAUUUUAUGAAUAUUGUUAAGUAUUAUGGAUUUAUUUUAAAUUUUAUGAAGAUUGUAAAGUAUUAUGAAUUUAUUUUAAAUUUUAUGAAUAUUGUUAAGUAUUAUUGAUUUAUUUUAAAUUUUAUGAAUAUUGUUAAGUAUUAUGAACAUUAAUUAUAAUUUUUAUGAAUGAUAUUUGAUUUAUAUUCAAUAUGAUUCUUAAUUAUAAAUUAUUUGAUUAUACAGGGAAUAUCUAAAUAAAAGCAGGAAUUUUUUUUUGUGAUCGAAUUUUAACAUACUAGCGACAGAUUUAUGAGAAUAUUUAUUAAAAUGUCUUAAUAUUUCCGACGGAUUUCCGACGGAAACUUUCCGUCGCUAAUUAUUUCUGACAGAUUAGCGAUGGAUUGUUAUAGGAUGAAUUUAGAUAUUCCGACGGAUUUAGCGACGAAAAAACUCGUCGCUAAAAUUUUUCGACAGAAUUAUCCGUCGGAAAACAAAUUUUUCCGACGGAGGUAAGAUCCGUCAGAAAUCCGUCACUAAUAUUUCCGACGGAAGCCUGAUCCGUCGGAAAAAAUUAGCGACAUGACUUUAAGCGACGGGUUUGAGUCCGUCGGAAAUCCGUCGCUAAAAGUUUUAGCGACAGAUUUUUGACUAUCAGCGACGGAAAAAUCCGUCGCUGAUAGUCUUUUUUUUGUAGUGAUAGAGAAAUCCAAUCCUAACUACUCAAACGCAUGAGAUGUUGCUAGAUCAUACAAUUUCCUUGGUUUUUACACCAAGUGUUCUUAUGUUUGAAUAAUCCAAGCAAUUACGGACUUAAAUUACCCAAACUAACAUAUUAUAACCUUGCAAUCAAGAAUCAAUUGGCCAUAUUGAUCAAAAAAACAAAGCAACAAUGGAAUUAAGCAUGACAUUGUAUGAAUAUUGAAUAACAAAAGAUAAACAAUGUUUGAUCAAGUCUCCCAAUCCAUAAAACAACUAAAGCAUCACCUAAUCUUGAACUAGAAUAAAAGGUUUCAGCCUCUCAUGGCUGAAACAAAACCAAAAAUAAAAAAAAAGAAGAAAGGUAGAAGAAGAGAUGUGAAUCCCGUAGGUGUCUCCAAGGUGGUGUGUAAAAGCUAUGUGGAGGCUCCUUAUGUGUCUUUUUAUAGUUGGAAGUGCUGCCCUAGGUCAUACUUGCUUCCUAAUUAGUGAAGAGGCUGCCCAAAGUGCUGAAAAGGAAAGAAUCGCGUUGCAAAUUCUCUAGAAGGAAGGAGGCGCGCAGAUCAAGUUUCAAAAGAGGAAGGAUGCGCGCAGAUUGCAGAAGAGGAAGGAGAGCAUGCAGUAAUUAAUGUGCAGAAGUGGAAAGAAAUCUGUCCAGUCUUUCCUUUUUAGGUGGAGCCUUCGUUUGAAUUUUGAAUGCUGAAUGAAGAAGAGGCAGAUGCAUCUCCUUGAAAUCUUGCUGCCUAAAUAGGAAGAUUUGACUGCUGCAGUGUGUGCAUAUCUUUGAAUGAGGAAAGAAAGAUCUGCGAUUUGAAUUUCAAAUAAUCUUCUGACUGAGCUUUCCUUAUUUGCUUUUGCUUCUGCACUUCCCUUAUUUGAGGACUUUCCUUUUCUGAAAACUUUCCUUAUUUGACACUUUCCAUAAUUGGCUUCACCUUCUGAAUAAGGAAAGAAGAAUCUACAAUUUGAAUUUCAAAGAAUCCGUUGAUUGCGCUUUCCUGUUCUGGCACUUUCCUUAUCAGAAAACUUUCCUUAUUUAGCACUUUCCAUAUUUGAAAACUUUCCUUUUUUUGGCACUUUUCAUAUUUGGCACUUUUUGGCAUUUUUAAGAGCAUUUUCUCCAGAUUGUCUCUUUACACCUAAUAUCUGCAAAACAUGAUUAAAACCACAAAAUUAGGUAGAAAAGGUGUAAAUAAACAUCAAUAAGAUCACGAUAAUAUGGACUAAAAUAUACUCUAUUAAGUACCCUCACACCUUACCUUUUUCUUGUCCUCAAGCAAAUAAACAUAGUUAAACAAGCUUUCUUACUCUAGAUCCUUAUUUCCACUUAAGCUCUUACUCUAAACCCCUAUUUUGAAUCAUUGCAGUGAAGAAUAUAUGCAUGAAGAUUACUCACCUUCUUUCCUUGUUUCCUUUUGCUUACCAUGGCUAGGGUUUGUUUUACUCAAGAGAGAUCAUACAUGCACAUAUUAUUGGUUCAGAUAAGACUUUUUCUAGCUUUCAGAGUGACUUGCCCUUACCUUGAAAUAGUUUAUUCAGCUUUUUGCACUUUUAAUUUUGCUUGAACAAGUCACCAACCUUUUGACGUGAAGGUACAUAUUUGUGAUACCCAUCCCAGUUACUCAGUUGGUCACCUGUCCAAGUGGCUACUAGCUCUGUUCAUAGUCUUUUGACCAUUGGAAUUGUUUUCAAUUUGUGCUUUUGAAGUCUAAGCCUUUAUGAAUUUCUUUCUCUCAAUGAUUUGGGCAAAUCAACAACAAUUGCUAAAUCAAGUCAUGUUAAGUUCAUUCACACAAUUUUCAAUUCAUUCUCUCUAAUGAGUGUCAUCAAUAUAUUUUUCACCAUGGCAAACUCAAAGAUUCAAUUCAAAAGGUAAUUUUCAAACAUGAAUAUAACUCACUGCAAUUGAUUCAACAUAAGUUGAAAGAGUUAUCACAUCAAUAGGGUCAUGGAAAGAAAAGCUCAUCAACAUAGUCUAUCAAUUUGAGUGAAGCAAAUUGGAACACAAAAAGGAAGAAAACUGUGGUUGUGUGUGUUAUUGAAAGCAAAAUGAAAAAUUGAAAAAAAAUCACACUGAAAAUGAAAAUAAAAAUUCAAACUGAAAAUUAAAGCAAAAAUUAAAAAUUCAGAAAUAUGCACCCCCACACCUAAAUCAUGCAUUGUCCUCAAUGUAUAGGAAUUAUUAAAAUGCAAAAGAAACUGAGUACUCCCCUGGGUGUGGUGUGCAUGGUGCGAUCCACUUGAUCAAGGCUCAAGUAAUUGGAGAAGGGAAAAGAGUCCCAACUGCAUUGAGUAAAAAGUGUAGCAGUCCAUUUGAUUUUGUCAUAGCCCAUCCUAUUUUCUCCAUGUACUCAUGAAGCAACAUGAUUAGCUUCUCCUCUUUCAGAUGAGGUGUGCCUCUAGCCCUUAUGUUUGCAUUUUUGAGAUCAGUUGGGUAGAACUUUGAACUCCAAUUCAUGUUUCUCCAUGGCUAGCUGCAAUUUAGCAUUAAGUUCAGGCAAAACAAACUCUACCUUAUCCGGAGGUUUGGGAAGGCAUUGAUCUGCAUGGUCCUUUGGUUUAGGUGCUUGGAAUACCAUUUGUUCCUUGUGAGCAUAGGCUGUUUGCAUUGGAUCUAUGGCUGAAUCGGUUUCAGAAUGCUCCUUCUGCGCAAGAUCUGACUGAAAGGGGAGCUGAAGAGGACUGAUCUGCGAUUGAAGCUGAAAGGAUGCGAUGGAGGUGGCUUCAGGUUGCGCAAAGCUCAUCUACGAAUUCUCCUGAAGAGGUGCGACAGUGCCCUCUUCAGUCUGUGCUUGGCUGCAGUUUACCUAUUGGAUGCAACAGUCAAUUUCUUUCAAUUCUGGCUCUUUCUGGUUCUCUUCCCUGCAAAAAUCAUUGUUUAGCAUAUCAUCUUGAUCAUAAAAAUUUUCUUGGCUCAUACAAUCAAUGAUGUCUAAACUUUUAGCAAGUUCUGUUUGAUCAGUUUGUUUAGGCAAACAAUUUUUUGGUUAUUUUUCUUCAGCACUUUGUUCUUGCACUUGCGAGCUUUCAUCAUCAUCCCAUACAUCUUGAAGUUCUUGCUCUUCUCUUAACAUGUGUGCUUUCACUCUGGUGGUUAUUUGUUCCAUCUGCUGUUGGAGGCUUUGCACAGAAAUUGCCAAUGUCCUCAUCUUUUCUUCAAGGUGUUGGUUGGAACUUGGAGGUUCUGUUUGGGCUUGAUAUCCUUGAUAAUUAUGGUAGUUAUUAUCCCAUGCAUAACUGAAGUCUAGACAGUCUCUCCAACCUGGAUUGUAUGUGUCAUAGUAGGGAUCAUGUCUUGGCUGUUCAUAGAAUCCUCCAUAUGUAUGUACUUGUUGGUCAUACUCAUAACGUGUAGGACAUUGAUCAGUUGGGUGUCCUGCAUAUGAACAGAUCCCACAUGGCCUAGGCGGCUGGGUUGCUUGAAUCUGUUAAACCAGUCCUAUGGCAAAAUCUUUCAUAACAGUUGUCAGUUCAGAAAACUGAAAAAGAGUGGCAGGUGUACUUACCUCAUCCAUGAUUCAGAUCUGCGAUGGUGACUGUGCCUUUAGCGAGAUGUUCGGCGGCCGAAUGAGGAUGAGGUUCGGCGGCCGAAUGUGUUGCAGAAGGUGCUCCUGCGCAAAGGUGGUCUUCAAAAAAAAAAAAUUUUUUUUUGUCCUGAAAGAAAAACAAACAAGUUAAAUCAAUUCCCCGGUAACGACGCCAAUUUUUGACUCGCGGUUGUCGAAGCUGGUCAAAAAUAACCUUUCUGGUUAUCAACAAUUUACAACUGCAGAUAGUGGUAAAAGGAUCGAAUCCACAGGGAAUUGAGAACUUACCUAUUUUCCUUAUCAAGACCAAUAAAAUAAACUGAAACGAGAUAAAAUUGAAAACGAGAUAAACUGAAAACGAGAUAAACUGAAAGCGGAAUAAAAAUAAAUUGCAGUAAAAGUAAAAUGAGAGGUUUGAGAUUGAUUCGAUUAAUAAAGUACUGAAAGCAAUUAAAAUAAGCGAAUAAUAAAAUAAAAGAGAAAUAAAUAAUAAGAAAGCUCUAGUUGAAGAAUUGGAUCCACUUCAGUUGUUGGGAUUGAUCAUUGACACUUAGUUUCUUUUGAUUGAUUCAAUAGAUUAGUUAUGGAGAUGGAAGACGCUUCUCACCACCAUGUCUCUCCUUAUGAUUAAACUAAUUAGGGAACGUCCUCUAAUUAAGUACUAAUUAACAAAUUGCCAAGGAACGUCCUUGGGCCUUAGGCAUCAAAACAAUUAUUAAUUGCAUGAAGAGAUAGAGAGAUCCAAUCCUAACUACUCAAACACAUGAGAUGUUGCUAGAUCAUACAAUUUCCUUGGUUUUUACACCAAGUGUUCUUAUGUUUGAAUAAUCCAAGCAAUUACGGACUUAAAUCACCCAAAAUAACAUAUUAUUACCUUGCAAUCAAGAAUCAAUUGGCUAUAUUGAUCAAAACAACAAAGCAACAAUGGAAUUAAGCAUGAGAUUGUAUGAAUAUUGAAUAACAAAAGAUAAACAAUGUUUGAUUAAGUCUCUCAAUCCAUAAAACAACUAAAGCAUCACCUAAUCUUCAAUUAGAAUAAAAGGUUUCAGCCUCUCAUGGCUGAAACAAAACCAAAAAUAAAAGAAAAGAAGAAAGAUAGAAGAAGAGAUGUGAAUCCCGUAGGUAUCUCUAAGGUGGUGUGUAAAAGCUGUAUGGAGGCCCCUUAUGUGUCUUUUUAUAGUUGGAAGUGCUGCCCUAGGUCAUACUUGCUUCCUAAUUAGUGAAGAGGCUGUCCAAAGUGCUGAAAAGGAAAGAAUCGCAUUGCAAAUUCUCCAGAAGGAAGGAGGCGCGCGGAUCAAGCUUCAAAAGAGAAAGGAUGCGCGCGGAUUGCAGAAGAGGAAGGAGAGCGUGCAGUAAUUAAUGUGCAGAAGUGGAAAGAAAUCUGUCCAAUCUUUCCUUUUUAGGUGGAGCCUUCAUUUGAAUUUUGAAUGCUGAAUGAAGAAGAGGCAGGUGCAUCUCCUUGAAAUCUUGCUGCCUAAAUAGGAAGAUUUGACUGCUGCAGUGUGUGCAUAUCUUUGAAUGAGGAAAGAAAGAUCUACGAUUUGAAUUUCAAAUAAUCUUCUGACUGAGCUUUCCUUAUUUGCUUUUGCUUCUGCACUUCCCUUAUUUGAGGACUUUCCUUUUCUGAAAACUUUCCUUAUUUGACACUUUCCAUAAUUGGCUUCACCUUCUGAAUAAGGAAAGAAGAAUUUGCAAUUUGAAUUUCGAAGAAUCUGUUGAUUGCGCUUUCCUUUUCUGGCACUUUCCUUAUCAGAAAACUUUCCUUAUUUAGCACUUUCCAUAUUUGAAAACUUUUCUUUUUUAGCACUUUCCAUAUUUGGCACUUUUUGGCAGUUUUAAGAGCAUUUUCUCCAGAUUGUCUCUUUACACCUAAUAUCUGCAAAACAUGAUUAAAACCACAAAAUUAGGUAGAAAAGGUGUAAAUAAACAUCAAUAAGAUCACGAUAAUAUGGACUAAAAUAUGCUCUAUCAGUGUCCUAUCAGAUCUGCGAGGGACUUGUGUCACCCUUUCAGUUUCCACAACUGUUUGUGGUUCUGUGGUUCUAUCGGCGGUUCAAUGCUCUUUUGUGGUGCUUGAGUUUCCUCAAGUUGCAUUGUACUCCCACUAAAUCUCUGAGAGAUAAAUUUCUUUUCCAAAAGGUACCAUUUCGAGCAACAAACACUUUGUUCUCUGAGGGAAUAUAGAAAUAAUAUCCUUUGGUUUCCUUAGGAUACCCCACAAAAUUGCACUUGAUAGAUUUUGGAGCUAGCUUAUUUGAAAUUGGGCGUUUCACAUAAGCCUCACAACCCAAAAUCUUAAGGAAAGACAAACUGGGCAUUUUGCCAGUCCAUAACUCAUAUGGUGUCUUUUCAACCGCUUUUGAUGGUACUCGGUUUAGAAUAAAUGCAACUGUUUCCAAGGCAUAACCCCAAAAUGAUAAAGGGAGAUUUGUUUGAUUCAUCAUAGAUCGAACCAUAUUUAAUAAAGUUCGAUUUCUCCUUUCAAAAAUACCAUUCUAUUGUGGAGUUCCUGAAGGAGUCAAUUGUAAAACAAUUCCACAAUUUCACCACCUCGAUCAGAUUGAAGCAUUUUAAUAGUUCUACCAAGUUGAUUUUGUACUUCAUUUUUAAAAGUUCUAAACAUUUCAAAAGAUUCAUGCUUAUGUUUCAUUAGGUAGACAUAGCCAUACCUACUGAAAUCAUCAGUGAAUGUAAUGAAGUACUGAUAACCUCCCCUGGCACUAAUGCUUAGUGGGCCACAUACAUCUGUAUGUAUUAAGCCCAAUAAGUCUGAAGCCCUUUGACCUUGUCCAGUAAAAGGGUCCUUUGUCAUCUUACCAAGCAAACAAGAUUCACAAUUUUCAAAUGAUUCAAAAUCAAAUGAAUCUAAUAAACCAUCUUUAUGGAGCUUAGAUAUGCAAUUUUCAUUUAUAUGACUAAGACGACAGUGCUAUAAAUAUGUUGGGUUUAACUCAUUUGGCUUAGUUUUCUUAGAAAUUAUGUUAUAGAUAUUGUUAUCUCUAGAAUCAUCUAGAUUAAGGACAUAAAGGCCAUCAUAAGAAUUUGCAAUACAAUAAAGCAAAUCAUCUUUAUUAAUGGAGCAUUUCUUAUUCUUAAUAAGAAAUGAAAAACCUUCAUCAUCCAAAACAGAAACUGAAAUAAUAUUCCUACUCAAAGUAGGAAUAUAAAAGCAAUUGUUCAAAACUAACAAAAGACCAUUGGGCAAAACAGGUUCAUAAGUCCCUACAGCUAAGGCAGCAACUCUUGCUCCAUUGCCUACACGUAGGUCCACAUCGCCCUUUUUCAGUUUUCUACUCUUUUUGAGACCCUGCACAUUUGUACAAAUGUGAGAAACACAUCCGGUAUCUAAUACCUAUGAAGUAGAAAUAGAUAAAUUAAUAUCUAUAACAUAAAUACCCGAAGUUGUAGUCUCACUACUCUUCUUCUUCUUACACUCAUCCAAAUAGAGUUUGAAAUUUCUCUUCCAAUGCCCUGGUUCCUUGCAAUGGAAGCAGAUUCCUUCCUUAGGAACUAUUUCCUUAGGAACUUUUGCCUUGGUUUGCCAUUUAGGCUUGCCUCGUCCCUUAGGCCCAUUACCACCUUUAGACUUGGGCUUCCCCUUAUUUUUCAUGGACUUACCCUUAUUGACAUUCAAAAUUCGGGUAGGCCUUUUCUUGACAUUUACCUCAGCUGUUUUUAGCAUCCCAUGCAGCUCAGGAAUGGAUUUCUCCAUAUUGUUCAUGUUAUAGUUCAUGACAAACUGACAAAAACUGCUGGGUAAAGAAUGUAGGAUCAGAUCCGUUAGAGAGUUUUAAACUCAAAGGAUAGCCAAGACUAGCAAGUUGAUCAAUGUAGCCUUUCAUCCUCAAAACAUAAGCACUAACUGAUUCACCUUCAGCCAUUUUGCAAUCAUGCAAUGCAAUGGUGGUUUCAUACCUAUCCUGCCUAGCUUGCUGUUGGAAAGCUUGUUUGAGAUGGACACUCAUCUCAUAGGCCUCAAGGUGCUCCAGAUCCUUCUGAAGUUCUAGGCAUAUAGUUGCCAACAUAAGACAUCCAAUGUCAUUAGAAUCAUCCAUAUGCUUCUUAUGAUUGUUCUUAACAGCAUUAGUAGCAUCAGCAGGAGGUGGUUCUGGGAUAGCUUCAUCAAGUACGUAGGACUUUUUCUCUUGCUUGAGAACAAUUCUCAAGUUUCUAAACCAGUCAACAAAAUUAGUCCCAUUUUCUUUCAGUUUAUCCUUCUCAAGGAUGGAUCGCAGUGAUAAGGUGGAAUUGUUAUUAGCAGCCAUAAUUAUCUACAAAAUAUGCAAAUAUAAUUAAUUUAGUAAAUUAAUAUUGAGGAAAUAAUAAUCUCCCACUAAAAUAUAACUCUCAAAAAUAAUAAUAUUUUAGUGGGCUAAGAUCCAUAUUUCACCUAAUUCUAAGUCAGCUUUGGCAUGACGCUUAGAAUUAAGUUAUUUAGGUAGGUAACUCCUUACCAAUUACAUCUAAUGUAACUCUUAGAUUAUGAGGUGUUUGACAUCAUAUGUCAAAUGCAUGUUAUACCCCAUUUAAUGCCUUAGGCCCAAAACCGUUUUGAUAGCCUAAUUAAGCUCAACCAAAAUUAAAUAAAUGAGUAACUAUUACUCAUCCUAUCUUACUAGGAUAACCUAAGCACUUUGCUUUGGCAAAACCUGCAUUUUGGUGAUCUUAGUCUUGAUAGGUAUUUAAUAUAUGGGUGGCAUUAAAACUUAAAAUUUUAGAGUGAGGGUUCAACUUUUAAUUUUAAUUAUUUUGUCUUGCAUAUAUAUAUAUAUAUAUUAUAGCAUCCUAUAUGCAUACAUAUAUAUAUAGAUUAUAAUGCAUAGUAUCUCAUACUAAUAUAUGACAAAAUAAUAAAAUAUAGUCAUUUAAAUCUGAUUUAAAGACUAAAAGAAAAUAAUAAUUUUAAAAUUUAUUUUCUUAUUAAUUUUUUUUUAUUUUCAGGGGCAGAAUCGUAAUUUGGAGCAUCAUCUUCUUCCUUAGGAAGAAACCCUAGCCGCCCCAUGAAGAUCUCUGCACAUGCGUUGGCAGAUCAACCCCCAGAAGCACACGCAACAUUUGCGCCCCACCGAUGUCCCAUCCGCCACACGUGCGCGACAUUGACGGAAUUGCGAGGGAGGUGACCAAACCAAUUCGUACAGCACUCCCUCCCCUUCGGUGCCAACGAGCGAAACCAGCUCCCACCCACAGCAGCCAUGCAAUCGCCGCCACGUCCGACGAUGAGCUCAGCAGCCACAAAAGUGGCUACUACGCAUGGCAAGUGUGCGAUGCCAGUGAUAGGUGUUCAACACCAUCAUUGGGCGUUUCUUGAAUGUAGCUGUUUUGGCCUUCCCUUCCUCCUCGCGAUCAGCACGUCCCAGCCACGCCAUGCGAUUCCUUGACAUGGAAUGGCAAGCCAGCAAAGGCCCCACCACCGACUCAACCACAUUGAUUAUCUUUGGGCAUGAUGCGGUCCUGUUCGUGUUCUGAUCAUGAGAAUUUGCAGAUUUCAAAUCUCAAAUCCCUUUUUUUUAUUUAAUUUCAUUAAUUUAAUUUUUCUAACAAAAAUUACCUAAAUGAUCUGAUCAUUCAUCCAUAAAUUCGCAUAAUUAAUUUAAACGAAAAGCACAGGUUGGCUCUAAUACCACUGUUGGGAAAUCCCGAAAUUAUUGCAACCCAAAUUGCACAGCGGAAAAAUAAAAUCUCGGAUUUCCUUUCCCAGAAUCCGAGUGCUUCGUUUAUUUCAUAAGAAGGAUAUGAGACUAACCUGUUAAUCUCGUCCAAAAGAUACAAUGGCGGACUGAUGGUGCUACUUUUUCAAACGAACACCCUCUAUGGUAUCCACACGAACGUCUUCUAUCCUUCUAGAGUGCUAGCUCUCUCAAAGAUGGAUAGAUUAUGUGCUCGACAAUAUGCAAUUGUUAGACCGAAUUUUUUUCUAAAAAUUAACAUCAUUUCCACAAUUCGUAGAAGGAGUAUUUAUAUGUUUCAGUCUUUUGUUUUACCACAACUCUUUUUCCAAAAGAGUUGUGUUCAGAACCUACUAUCACAAUCUCACAGAUACUCAAAUAUCUUAUGUGAUAGAGUCCUUUAUCUGUAACAGUUACAGAUAGAUUUGCACAUCUUUUAAAUAUUAUUAUCUUAUAAUAAUAAAUAAUUAAUAAUAAUAACACUUUAUUAUUAUUAAUUAUAUUAAUGAGCUUUGGUCCAUUAAUAUGUCAUAGCACAUCAACAACGUUCUUUUAUGUGCGACCCAAUAGGCUCACAUUAAUUGGCAAUAGGCCCAGUCCCACAAGGCCCAUAAGUCAUUAGUGGCCUCUAGCAAGACAUUAUGACUACCCAACUAAUAUGAGGAUCAAUACUCCGAUAAAGCCUAAUAAAUAGAACAUGUAUUAAUCCCUUUGUCACACGAUAUCUAGUUUGAACAUAAGUCAUGGUCAAUGUCAAACUUAUAAUGUUCAAACUUAUGAUUUCUCAAUCUCUAAGUAGACUGAUAAAUUGAAAUGAUAUUGAUCACACUAUCAAUUCAUUUGAGCAUGGCCAUGCAUUUCUCAGUCUCACUUAUUGAGGGGCCCAGAAGAUAUCGCUCUUAGAGAGGGACAAAUCCUAUCUUGAUUGUUCAUUAUCCUCUACAUAAUUUCUAUUAUACUCAAUCAUAACCUUUAUGAUUGUCCGAUUAAAGACAACGUUUGGUUAUGACAAAAUAUAACAGUCUUUAUGUUGGAAACUAUGACAAUCUCAAGUCAAAGGAUUAAGACAUAACUAUUUUGAGAUUCACUUAUGACAAUAACCCAUGUAGUGAUCUCAACGCGGGUCCAUCCAAUACUUUGUUCUUUAACAAGUAUCUAUGAUUAUUGAAUUAUAUCAACAUAUACAUAAUCAUCUCAUGAUUAUCAAUCAAUAAUCAUACUAGCUAUAUUUUAUUAUUAUCAACAUAAUAAUAACUAACCAGGGAUAAUAAUCAUUAUUAUGUAACAUGCAAACAAAUAAUAAUGAUAAAAAUCUCUUUUAUUAAAAACCAAAAUGACAUACAAAUAGGUACAAGAUAAUGGCCUAGGGCAAAUACACUAAUAACAUCUGUAUGUAUUAAGCCCAAUAAGUCUGAAGCCCUUUGACCUUGUCCAGUAAAAGGGUCAUUUGUCAUCUUACCAAGCAAACAAGAUUCACAAUUUUCAAAUGAUUCAAAAUCAAAUGAAUCUAAUAAACCAUCUUUAUGGAGCUUAGAUAUGCGAUUCUCAUUUAUAUGGCUAAGACGACAGUGCCAUAAAUAUGUUGGGUUUAACUCAUUUAGCUUAGUUUUCUUAGAAGUUAUAUUAUAUAUAUUGUUGUCUCUAGAAUCAUCUAGAUUAAGGAUAUAAAGCCCAUCAUAUGACUUUGCAAUACAAUAAAGCAAAUCUUUAUUAUAAAUGGAGCAUCUCUUAUUCUUAAUAAGAAAUGAAAAACCUUCAUCGUCAAAAACAGAAACUGAAAUAAUAUUCUUACUCAAAGUAGGAACAUAAAAGCAAUUGUUCAAAACUAACAAAAACCCAUUGGGCAACACAAGUUCAUAAGUCCCUACAGCUAAGGCAGCAACUCUUGCUCCAUUCCCUACACGUAGGUCAACAUCGCCCUUUUUCAGUUUUCUACUCUUUUUGAGACCAUGCACAUUUGUACAAAUGUGAGAACCAUAUCCGGUAUCCAAUACCCAUGAAGUAGAAAUAGAUAAAUUAAUAUCUAUAACAUAAAUACCCGAAGUCGUAGUCUCACUACUCUUCUUCUUCUUGCACUCAUCCAAAUAGAGUUUGCAAUUUCUCUUCCAAUGCCCUGGUUCCUUGAAAUGCAAGCAGAUUCCUUCCUUAGGAACUAUUUCCUUAGGAACUUUUGCCUUAGAUUGCCAUUUAGGUUUACCUCAUCCCUUAGGCCCAUUACCACCUUUAGACUUGGGCUUCCCCUUAUUUUUCAUGGGCUUACCCUUAUUGACAUUCACCUCAGCUGUUUUUAGCAUUCCGUACAGCUCAAGAAUGGAUUUCUCCAUAUUGUUCAUGUUAUAGUUCAUGACAAACUGAGAAAAACUGCUGGGUAAAGAAUAUAGGAUCAGAUCCGUAGAGAGUUCUAAACUUAGAGGAUAGCCAAGCCUAGCAAGGUGAUCAAUGUAGCCUUUCAUCUUCAAAACAUGAGCACUAACAGAUUCACUUUCAGCCAUUUUGCACUCAUCUAAUGCAAUGGUGGUUUCAUACCUAUCUUGCCUAGCUUGCUGUUGGAAAGCCUGUUUGAGAUGGACACUCAUCUCAUAGGCCUCAAGGUGCUCCAGAUCCUUCUGAAGUUCUGGGCACAUAGUUGCCAACAUAAGACAUCCAAUGUCAUUAGAAUCAUCCAUAUGCUUCUUAUGCUUGUUCUUAACAGUAUUAGUAGCAUCAGCAGGAGGUGGUCUUGGGAUAGCUUCUGUUGGGAAAUCCUGAGAUUAUUGCAACCCAGUUGCGCUGCGAAAAAAUAAAAUCGCUAUUGAUUUCCUUUCCCAGAAUCUGAGUGCUUCGUUUAAUUCAAAAGAUGGAUAUGAGACUAACCUGUUAAUCUCGUCAAGAAGAUACAAUGUCGGACUGAUGGUGCUGCCUUUUCAAACGAACACCCUCAAUGGUAUCCACACGAACGUCUUCUAUCCUUCUAGAGUGCUAGCUCUCUCAAGGAUAGAUAGAUUAUGUGCUCCACAAUCUGCAGCGGUUAGACUGAAUUUUCUAAAAAUGUCGUCCACCCCCACAAUUCGUAGUAGGAGUAUUUAUAUAUUUCAGUCUUUUGUUUUCCACCAACUCUUUUCCUAAAAGAGUUGUGCUCAGAACCCAUUAUCACAAUCUCGCAGAUACUCAAAUAUCUUAUGUGAUAUAGUCCUUUAUCUGUAACAGUUACAGAUAGACUGCAGAUCUUUUGAAUAUUAUUAUCUUAUAAUAAUAAAUAAUUAAUAAUAAUAACACUUUAUUAUUAUUAAUUAAUAUUAAUAAUAAUAACACUUUAUUAUUAUUAAUUAUACUAAUGGGCUUUUAGCCCAUUAAUAUAGCACAUCAACAACGUUCUUGUGUGUGACCCAAUAGGCUCACAUUAAUUGGCAAUAGGCCUAGUCCAACAAGGCCUAUAAGUCAUAAGUGGCCUCUAGCAAGACAUUAUGACUACCCAACUAAUAUGAGGAUCAAUAGUCCGAUAAAUCCUAUUAAAUAGAACAUGUAUUAAUCCCUUUGUCACAUGAUAUCUAGUUUGAACAUAAGUCAUAGUCAAUGUCAAACUCAUAAUGUUCAAACUUAUGAUUUCUCGAUCUCUAAGUAGACUGAUAAAUUCAAAUAUUAUUGAUCACACUAUUAAUUUAUUUGAGCACGGCCAUGCAUUUCUCAGUCUCACUUAUCGAGGGGCCCAGAAGAUAUCUCUCUCAUAGAGAGGGACAAAUUCUAUCUUUAUUGUUCAUUAUCCUCUACAUAAUUUCUAUUAUGCUCAAUCAUAACCUUUAUGAUUGUCCGAUUAAAGACAACGUUUGGUUAUGUCAAAACAUAAUAGUCCUUAUGUUGGAAACUAUGGCAAUCUCAAGUUAAAGUAUUAAGACAUAACUACUUUGAGAUUCACUUAUGACAAUGACCCAUGUAGUGAUCUUAAUGUGAGUCCAUCCAAUACUUUGUUCUCUAACAAGUAUCUAUGAUUAUUGAAUUAUAUCAACAUAUACAUAAUCAUCUCAUGAUUAUCAAUAAAUAAUCAUACCAGUUAUAUUUUAUUAUUAUCAACAUAAUAAUAAGUAACCAGGGAUGAUAAUCAUUAUUAUGUAACAUGCAAACAAAUAAUAAUGAUAAAAACCUCUUUUAUUAAUAACCAAAACGACAUACAAAAAGGUCCAAGAUAAUGGCCUAGGGCAUAUACACUAACAGCUUCAUCAAGCACCUUAGGCCCAUUAUCUUUCAGUUUAUCCUUCUCAAGGAUGGAUCGUAGUGAUAAGGUGGAAUUGUUAUUAGCAGCCAUAAUUAUCUACAAAAUAUGCAAAUAUAAUUAAUUUAGUAAAUUAAUAUUGAGGUGAUAAUAAUCUCCCAAUAAAAUAUAACCUUCAAAAAUAAUAAUAUUUUAGUGGGCUAAGAUCCAUAUUUCACCUAAUUAUAAGUCAAUUUUGGCAUGACGCUUAGAAUUAAGUUAUUUAGGUAGGUAACUCCUUACCAAUUACAUCUAAUGUAACUCUUAGAUUAUGAGGUGUUGACAUCAUAUGUCAAAUGCAUGUUAUACCCUAUCUAAUGCCUUAGACCCAAAACUGUUUUGAUAGCCUAAUUAAGCUCAACUAAAAUUAAAUAAAUGAGUAACUAUUACUCAUCCUAUCUUACUAAGAUAACAUAAGCACUUUGCUUUGGCAAAACCUGCAUUUUGGUGAUCUUAGUCUUGAUAGGUAUUUAAUAUAUGGGUGGCAUUAAAACUUAAAAUUUUAGAGUGAGGGUUCAACUUUUAAUUUUAAUUAUUUUGUCUUGCUUAUAUAUAUUAUAGCAUCCCAUAUGCAUACCAAUAUAUAUAUAGACUAUCAUGCAUAGUACCUCAUACUAAUAUAUGACAAAAUAAUAAAAUUAUUUUACAUAGUCAUUUAAAUCUGAAUUAAAGGCUAAAAGAAAAUAAUUUUAAAAUUUAUUUUCUUACUAAUAUAUAUAUAUAUAUUUUUUUUUUUAUUUCCAAGGGCAGAUUUGUAAUGAGGGCAUUAUCUUUUUCCUCAGGAAGAAGCCCUAGUUGCCGUUUCUUCACCAAGCAGCAGCCAUGCAAUCGCCGUCAUGUCCGACAAUGAGCUCAGUAGCCACAGAAGUGGCCACUUUCCAUCAUUGCUUCGGGCAUGCAUCAGCUGUGGAUCAUGUCAACACAGAUCACCACCUCCCAUCGCGUGCUCGCCUGUGGCUUUCACAUGUGAUGGUCUGGUCCUCAGCGUUUUCUGGGUUCAAGAUGACUGUUCAUCGGGAGUCCAAUUUUUUUAUUAUUAUUAAUUUAAUUUUUCUAACAAAAAUUAAAAUUAUCUAAAAGAUCCAAUCAUUCAUCCAUAAUUAUCAUGUCAUUCUAAUAAACAUAUAUCGCAUAUAUAAUAUCAAUCAUGACAUAAUUAAUUUAAACGAAAAGCACAGGUUGGCUCUGAUACCACUGUUGGGAAAUCCAAAGAUUAUUGUAACUCAAAGGCGCAGUGGAAAAAUAAAAUUUCUCUGAUUUCCUUUUCCCAUAAUUCGAGUGCUUCGUUUAUUUCAUAAGAAGGAUAUGAGACUAACCUGUUAAUCUCGUCAACAAGAUACAAUGCCGGACUGAUGGUGCUGCUUUUUCAAACGAACACCCUCUAUGGUAUCCACACGAACGUCUUCUAUCCUUCUAGAGUGCUAGCUCUCUCAAAGAUGGAUAGAUUAUGUGCUCCACAAUCUGCAAUAGUUAGACUGAAUUUGUAAUUCCCGGCUAGAGUCCGGCAUCGGAAUUCCUGUCGUCCGGUGGAAUCCAGGAUGUCGGAAUUAUCUAGAAGGGUAAGAUUUAUGUUUUUUCUAAAGUAAAGUAGUAUGUUUUAAUGUUUUAAAGUUAAAAGAACCGAGUUUUUGAGAGAAAAGAACCAAGGCAGAAAAGCCAGGUUCGGCCGCCGAAGGUGACAUUCGGCCGCCGAACAUGCAUGGCUUUCGGUUUCACGAUAGGCCGCCGAAGGUGGUUUGGCCAGCCACCUAUAAAAGGCCCUCAGUCGGUUGAAAGGAUAAGCUUUGCCGCUUUCUUUCACUUUCUGAGGUGAGACUCUGUCUUCCUGAAGAUUUCUUCAUGUGUUCAUUAACUUUUGCAAAGAUUUGAUUGAUUGUUAUGUUAUUUUGAAGGUUUUGAGUUAAAAACACAAAGUUUUGAAGUUUGGAGAGUUUGAAGGAGAGUUGCUCCAAAACUCCACGUUAGGAUCGUUCAUCUUCUUGGUUUCAAGAGGUAAGUGAAGAUCCUGAACUUGUUUUGAUGUUUUCUGAAGGUUUUAUGAGGAUUUGGGAGAGAGUUGCAUGAAUAGGGUUAAAAGGGAGUUUUUGAUGAUUUUGUGAGAAAAACUUGUAUAUGUGUUAUAUGUUUUGUGUUAUUGGGGUUUUAAGGUAGGUUAUGUCCCCUUUGAGCAUAUACUUGGGUGUAUGCAUGUUGAGGAGUUGAGGUGUUUGCGUUUGAGGAAGAUUGGUGCAUUUUGGCGUGAGGCAGAGCAAGGUUCUGCCUUGCUGAUGAAUCCAGCUUCGGCCGCCGAAGAAUGGUUCGGCCGCCGAAUGUGCUGAGGAGGUGGCUUCGGUUGCCUAAACUUGCCCCCGAGCCUUUGGACUUUCGGCUCUGGAGGGGAGUUCGGCCGCCGAAGAUGCCCCCAAAGGUUAGAGACUUUCGUCUCUGGAGUGCCUUUCAGCUCCCGAAACUUGCCCCCGAAAGGGUUCGGCUGCCGAAAGUUGAGAUUCGGCCGCCGAAGGUGCAUGAGUUUCGGCUCUGGAGAGGACUUUCGGCCGCCGAACCUGCCGCCGAAAGUAUCCUGUCCAGCCUUCCUUUGCAUACUUUGCAUGGAUGUUUGAGUGAGUUUAAGGGGAUUCUUGGGGAGUUUUAUAGAGUUGUUCUUGAGCUACUUUGGUCCCUCAUUUGAGCUUAUCUGUGCCUACACAGACCAGAGGAACCAGAGAGAGCAGCAGUGAGUACUGCUCCAGAGUUUACAGAGCCUGCAGAGUCAGUCCAGAUAGCCAGAGGUGAGUGGAACUAAACUUAAUUCUUUUAAUUGAGAAAUGAAAUGCUUUUAGCAUAAUUCAUGCAUCAUGAGUAUGCAGUAGAUUGUUUGCAUUAGAAUCCACGAAUAUGUUGCAUUGCAUCGGUAUUUGUUGGUGUGGGUGAAUGCUGAAUGAUCCAAUAGUCUCUAAGAGAAGUCCAGGAGCCUUUGACUACGCCCUGGCAAUGGUAAGUACACAGGUGUUAUAUACACAUAUACAUAUAUAACAGGAAGACCAGGUGCUCGAUUCUACGCCCUGGCACGACAGAGUUACCGGGACUAUGUGGUGACAGGUUUACCCUUGAUGUGGAUUGUCUGUGAUAUGAUGCAUUCCAUAGGAGCAUAUUUUAAUGACUUGUUUUACUGUUCUACUCACUGGGCUAUAGAGCUCAUCCCACUCCCUUAACCCCAGUCUUGCAGGUUCAGUGUACAGUGUACAGGGAAAGCCAGCAGAAUACAGGAAGAGAGAAGAGUCUUGUAAUAGAAUAUUGUGGACAUGUAAAUGUAAAGAGAUGUAAUAGUUGUGUAUAAAGUUAGAACUUGUGCUUGACUUAGUUAUUUGUGUUGUAAAUCUUUUGUUAUGUACAUGAUCUGUAUAUGUAUAUGUUUACAGAGUAUGUGAGAAACCAGGCUUAACAGGUAUGAGUUAACCCAUCUAGAGCAAGCUCUAGUCAGGGGUACGGAGUACAGAGUAUAGAGUACAGAGUACAGAGUACAGGGUACAGAGAUUGUGCAUGCACAGGUUAGGCCUUGGUUCAGAAAAGAGUUUUUAUUUUCACAGAAAAUGUAUGAUCAUGUAUGAGAUUUACAGGUACACAGAAAGUAUAGUAGGCUUGCUACGGGUUCUGGACCUGAAUCCUAGCGCCGGUGACGGUCCGUUUUGGGGUCGUUACAGAUUGGUAUCAAAGCCCAAGGUUCAAUAUGAUCGGACCUAUAGAGAGAGUGUCGGGCUCAUAGAGGUUAGAGGAAGUCAAGCACAAUAGGGAAACAUGUCCACUAGGAUAGGAUGUUGUGUCCUGUCUAUUUGAUGCUAUGAAAUGCUAUCAUAUGCGUAUGCAUUAUUGAGAUAUAUGAGUGAAAUAUAUGCUGAUAUGCUAUGUUAUGUGUUGUUUUCCAGAGUUAAGAUGAGAGGAACUCAUCGAUCAGCUCGAUUGACUGGAGUCCCACCAGAGAGUGAGAGAACAACUGCUCGUCCUCCUGCAUUGCCGAGGGCAAGGUCUCAGAGAUUUAGCAGGGAAGGUACGUCACUAGACCCUAGAAGGUCUGUAGACGAGAGCAGAAGAGGUACAGUUAGAGGGGGAAGAUCAGAGGAAAUGAGGGAGGCUAUGGAGAUUGACCAGUCUAUAGAUGAAAGCAUAGGUAUGGGUAGAUCUGAAGAAGGUAUGGGAGAGUCGCAGGGAGGUGUUCAGGCCUCAGGUUUUGGCUAUCCAGCCUUUCCUCAAGACCCAGAGUAUCCGAUAGGAGGUAUGUCGGAGUACUCUAGUUUUGUCCCAUAUCCUACUUAUAUGCCAUAUAUGCCUUAUCCUCAUUAUUACCCGCCAUAUCCUAUGUAUCCACCUUCCCCUACCCAUCCAAGUGCAGCACACCCAGAGCUAAAUGAACCAGUACCUCCACCACCACAACCAGAACUAGUAGUUCCUGUUGUCCAAAGACAGCAACCUAGCUCAUCUGGAGGUAAGGUGCAAAUGACGGAGUACCUGAAAUUGGAUGCUCCCAAAGACAACACGGGAGAUGAUCCAUUUGAAUACCUCAGAUCAGUUAGGAUGAUAACCAGUGAAUUGGGAGCAGAUGAUAGUAGAGCCAUAGCAAUGGCAGGGUUUACACUUAAGUGUAAGAAAGCUCGAGAAUGGUUCAAGAACUAUAUGGAGCCCAGGAUGGACAGUAUGUCAUGGGGAGAGUUCGCCAAUGAGUUUGCAGGGUGGGCUUUUCCUGAUAGUUCGAGGGAAAUGAAGGUAAUAGAGUUUGAACAGUUGAGACAAACAGAUGAGAUGAGUGUUGACGAGUUUACAGAUAAGUUCCUGGAUUUGCUUCAGUACGUGGGUCAGGCCUAUGAUACUGAUCAGAAGAAGGCAAGGAGAUAUAUUAUGAGAUUGCAUCCCAGGUAUUCUUCCUUGAUUCUUCCAGCAGAAAAGGAGAGUUUCCACUCUAUAGUGGAUGCAGCCAGGAAAAUGGAAGCAAGUGCCAAUAUUCAGAGACAGUCAAAGGCUCAGGCUUCGGGUUCUAAGGCCUCCAGUUCAGGAAUUUCAGGCAGCAAGGGAUGGGACAGAGCAAAAGGAUCAAAGAGUAAGUUCUGGAAUAAAGUCAAGUCUGGUCUGGGAAUAGGUAGUGGCUCAAGCUCUGGCACAGCUUAUCCAGUAUGCAGAAGAUGCGGAAGACCACAUGGAGGAGCUUGUCGAUUGGGAUCUACAGCUUGCUUUAGAUGUGGACAGGAAGGGCAUAUUGCUCGGGAUUGUCCUCAGGUGACUUUUGUGGCACCAUCCCAGCAGAUGAGUUCGGCAGCGUAGUACAGCCAGGAGCUCCAGCCAUGCCUCAGAGUAGUGGUAGAGGUAGAGGGAGAGGGGCAGCCUCUACUUCAGCAGCAGGUUCCCGAGGUGGAAAUCCGGUAGCCCCAGCACGGAUUUUCACUGUGACACAGGAGGAGGCGAACACGUCGAACACAGUGGUGUCAGGUAAUCUCAUAAUUGGGUGUUCAGAUGUGUAUGCUUUGAUGGACCCCGGUGCUUCUCAUUCCUUUAUUGCUUCGAGAGCCAUAGAGAGGUUGGGUUUGAUGAUUUCUGAGUUAGAGUAUCCUCUCUGGGUCAGUGGACCCAAGUGUGACCCAUCAGUGGUAGCGUCAGUCUGUCGUUUCAGUCCAGUGUUCAUAGAGGGUAGAUGCCUUCCAGCUGACCUUGUGGUUCUAGACUUGACAGAUUUUGAUGUCAUUCUAGGGAUGGAUUGGCUAUCUGCAUAUAGUGCUACCUUGGACUGUAGAGAGAAGGUAGUUAGUCUCAGAGACCAGGAUGGGUCAGAGUGUGUCUUCAGGGGAGACAGGAGAGGUACACCCAAAGGUUUGAUUUCAGCCCUUCAGGCUCGUCGUUUGCUUAGGAGGGGUUGUCAGGGGUUUCUAGCUCAUGUGAGAGAGCUAGACAGACAGGUUAGGGAACCAGCUUCGAUACCAGUAGUCCGAGAGUUUCCAGAUGUUUUCCCAGACGAACUUCCAGGACUACCGCCAGGUAGGGAGAUAGAGUUUGAAAUUGAAUUGCUGCCAGAUACCAGACCUAUCUCUAUUCCUCCCUACAGGAUGGCGCCAGCAGAGUUAAAAGAGUUGAAAGAGCAGUUGUAGGAUUUGGUAGAUAAGGGUUUCAUCCGCCCUAGUACCUCACCUUGGGGUGCUCCAGUGCUUUUUGUUAGAAAGAAGGAUGGAUCCCUCAGACUUUGUAUCGACUACAGACAGUUGAACAAGGUCACUACCAAGAAUAGGUAUCCUUUACCUAGGAUUGAUGAUCUUUUCGACCAGCUAGCUGGAGCGGGUUGUUUCUCUAAAAUAGAUCUGAGAUCCGGGUAUCAUCAGUUGAGAGUCAGAGAGGCAGAUGUGCCAAAGACAGCUUUCAGGACCAGAUAUGGGCAUUAUGAGUUCUUAGUGAUGCCGUUCGGGUUGACUAACGCCGCUGCAGCAUUCAUGGAUCUCAUGAACAGAGUUUUCAGCGAGUAUCUGGAUCACUUUGUUAUUGUUUUCAUUGACGACAUCUUAGUGUAUUCCAGAGAUGCAGAGGAGCAUGCCCAGCAUCUGAGGAUAGUUCUGCAGACACUGAGAGAGCAUGGUUUGUAUGCCAAGUUCUCUAAGUGUGAGUUUUGGUUGAGGAGCAUUUCCUUCUUGGGACACGUGGUAUCAGCAGAGGGCAUUGAGGUAGAUCCCAAGAAGAUAGAGGCUGUAGCUAACUGGCCCAGACCCACUACAGUGACUGAGACUAAAAGCUUUUUGGAACUGGCAGGUUACUACAGGAGGUUCGUUCAGGACUUCUCGAAGACAGCUGCUUUUAUGACCAAACUGACUCAGAAAAACCAGAAGUUUGUCUGGUCAGACCAGUGUGAAGAGAGCUUUGAGGAGCUCAAGAGGAGAUUGACAUCAGCACCAGUGCUAGCUCUGCCUGUCAGUGAUGAGGAUUUCAUAGUGUUCUGUGAUGCAUCUCGAGUGGGAUUGGGCUGUGUUUUGAUGCAGAGUGAUAGGGUGAUUGCUUAUGCUUCUAGACAGUUGAAGAAGCACGAGUUGAAUUACCCCACCCAUGACCUAGAGAUGGCAGCAGUUAUCUUUGCACUCAAGAUGUGGAGGCAUUACCUCUACGGGGUUAAAUGCGAGAUCUUCACUGAUCACAAGAGUUUACAGUACAUCUUGAGUCAGAGAGAGCUGAAUUUGAGGCAGAGAAGAUGGGUAGAAUUGCUCAGUGAUUAUGAUUGUAAGAUCCAGUAUCAUCCGGGUAAGGCGAAUGUUGUGGCAGACGCCCUAAGCCGGAAAUCACUAGGCAGUUUAUCCCAUAUAGCAGCAGAGCGGAGACCAGUAGUGGUGGAGCUUUACAAGCUCAUAGAGGAAGGGUUACAACUAGAGUUAUCUGGUACAGGUGCGUUGGUAGCACAGAUGAGAGUGACACUAGUGUUUCUGGAGCAGAUAGCUCAGAAACAGCACGAGGACCCAGAGUUGAUGAAAAUUGCCAGGACUGUCCAGUCAGGCAACAGUGCAGAGUUCAGAUUUGACAGCAAAGGGAUCCUUCGCUAUAGGAGUCGACUUUGUGUACCAGAUAGUAGCAGUCUGAAAGAAGACAUUAUGAGGGAAGCUCAUAAUGCGAGGUAUAGUGUUCACCCAGGAGCCACCAAGAUGUAUCAAGAUCUGAAAAGGGUCUAUUGGUGGCCAGCCAUGAAGAAAAAAAGUGGCGCAGUUCGUUACAGCCUGUGAGGUUUGUCAAAGGGUGAAAUUAGAACAUCAGAAGCCGGCUGGAAUGCUUAACCCACUGCCGAUUCCAGAAUGGAAAUGGGAGAAUAUAGCUAUGGAUUUUGUAGUGGGCUUACCGGCAGCGUCCAACAGGAUAGACUCCAUAUGGGUGAUUGUAGACAGACUCACGAAAUCUGCUCAUUUCAUUCCAGUUAGGAGUAACUAUUCGGUGGAUAAGUUGGCACAGGUAUAUCUGGAUGAGAUAGUGAGAUUACAUGGAGUUCCAGUGUCUAUAGUUUCAGACAGAGGACCUCAGUUCACCUCCAGAUUUUGGUGGAGUCUGCAGAGUGUGAUGGGCACGAGGUUGGAUUUUAGCAUAGCUUUCCAUCCGCAGACUGAUGGACAGUCAGAGAGGACCAUCCAGACCAUAGAGGAUAUGCUUAGAAUGUGUGUGUUAGACUUUGGCGGUUCUUGGAGGCAGCAUCUACCUCUGGUAGAGUUUGCCUACAAUAACAGUCAUCAUGCUAGCAUCGUAAUGGCUCCUUAUGAAGCGUUGUAUGGGAGGAAGUGCAGAUCACCUGUUUGCUGGGAAGAGGUUGGAGAGAAGGCUCUUGCAGGGCCAGAGUUAGUAGAGAUUACCAGUAGAACAGUGCCUAUGAUCAGAGAGAGGAUCAGAACAGCUCAGAGUCGACAGAAAAGCUAUGCAGACAUUCGCAGGAAACUGUUAGAGUUCCAGGAGGGUAAUUGGGUAUUGCUAAAAGUGUCUCCAAUGAAAGGAGUAGUUCGUUUUGGGAAGAAGGGUAAGUUAGCUCCACGAUACAUUGGACCCUUUGAGAUCUUACAGCGGAUCGGGAAUGUGUCGUAUAAGCUAGCUUUACCUGUUUCUAUGGAGACAAUUCACCCGGUAUUUCAUGUUUCUAUGCUACGGCAGUUUGUGUCAGAUCCGAAUCAGGUUAUUAGUGAGCCUGAUGUGGAGAUUCUUGGGGAUCUCACCUAUAUAGAGCAGCCAGUGCGGAUUCUUGACACACAGAUCAGACAGCUAAGGAACAAGGACAUUCCAAUGGUGAAAGUCUUGUGGAACCACCAUAAUUUAGAAGAGUGUACCUGGGAGACGCGGGAGUCUAUGCUCCAGCAGUAUCCAUAUCUGUUUUGAGGUUAGUUUCCUCCUUUUUAUGUGUUUAUUUGUUUGUUUUAGGAACAUUCGAGGACGAAUGUUCUUAAGGGGGGGAGAGUGUAAUACCCGGCUAGAGUCCGGCAUCGGAAUUCCUGUCGUCCGGUGGAAUCAAGGAUGUCAGAAUUAUCUAGAAGGGUAAGAUUUAUGUUUUUUCUAAAGUAAAGUAGUAUGUUUUAAUGUUUUAAAGUUAAAAGAACCGAGUUUUUGAGAUAAAAGAACCAAGACAGAAAAGCCAGGUUCGGCCGCCGAACAUGCAUGGCUUUCAGUUUCACGAUAGGCUGCCGAAGGUGGUCUGGCCAGCCACCUAUAAAAGGCCCUCAGUCGGUUGAAAGGAUAAGCUUUGCCGCUUUCUUUCACUUUCUGAGGUGAGACUAUGUCUUCCUGAAGAUUUCUUCAUGUGUUCAUUAACUCUUGCAAAGAUUUGAUUGAUUGUUAUGUUAUUUUGAAGGUUUUGUGUUAAAAACACAAAGUUUUGAAGUUUGGAGAGUUUGAAGGAGAGUUGCUCCAAAACUCCACGUUAGGAUCGUUCAUCUUCUUGGUUUCAAGAGGUAAGUGAAGAUCCUGAACUUGUUUUGAUGUUUUCUGAAGGUUUUAUGAGGUUUUGGGAGAGAGUUGCAUGAAUAGGGUUAAAAGAGAGUUUUUGAUGAUUUUGUGAGAAAAGCUUGUAUAUGUGUUAUAUGUUUUGUGUUAUUGGGGUUUUAAGGUAGGUUCUGUCCCCUUUGAGCAUAUACUUGGGUGUAUGCAUGUUGAGGAGUUGAGGUGUUUGCGUUUGAGGAAGAUUUGUGCAUUUUGGCGUGAGGCAGAGCAAGGUUCUGCCUUGCUGAUGAACCCAGCUUUGGCCGCCGAAGAAUGGUUCGGCCGCCGAAUGUGCUGAGGAGGUGGCUUCGGUUGCCUAAGCUUGCCCCCGAGCCUUUGGACUUUCGGCUCUGGAGGGGAGUUCGGCCGCCGAAGAUGCCCCCAAAGGUUAGAGACUUUCGUCUCUGGAGUGCCUUUCAGCUCCCGAAACUUGCCCCCGAAAGGGUUCGGCUGCCGAAAGUUGAGAUUCGGCCGCCGAAGGUGCAUGAGUUUCAGCUCUGGAGAGGACUUUCGGCCGCCGAACCUGCCGCCGAAAGUAUCCUGUCCAGCCUUCCUUUGCAUACUUUGCAUGGAUGUUUGAGUGAGUUUAAGGGGAUUCUUGGGGAGUUUUAUAGAGUUGUUCUUGAGCUAGUUUGGUCCCUCAUUUGAGUUUAUCUGUGCCUACACAGACCAGAGGAACCAGAGAGAGCAGCAGUGAGUACUGCUCCAGAGUUUACAGAGCCUGCAGAGUCAGUCCAGAUAGCCAGAGGUGAGUGGAACUAAACUUAAUUCUUUUAAUUGAGAAAUGAAAUGCUUUUACCAUAAUUCAUGCAUCAUGAGUAUGCAGUAGAUUGUUUGCAUUAGAAUCCACGAAUAUGUUGCAUUGCAUCGGUAUUUGUUGGUGUGGGUGAAUGCUGAAUGAUCCAAUAGUCUCUGAGAGAAGUCCAGGAGCCUUUGACUACGCCCUGGCAAUGGUAAGUACACAGGUGUUAUAUACACAUAUACAUAUAUAACAGGAAGACCAGGUGCUCGAUUCUACGCCCUGGCACGACAGAGUUACUGGGACUAUGUGGUGACAGGUUUACCCUUGAUGUGGAUUGUCUGUGAUAUGAUGCAUUCCAUAGGAGCAUGUUUUAAUGACUUGUUUUACUGUUCUACUCACUGGGCUAUAGAGCUCAUCCCACUCCCUUAACCCUAGUCUUGCAGGUUCAGUGUACAGUGUACAGGGAAAGCCAGCAGAAUACAGGAAGAGAGAAGAGUCUUGUAAUAGAAUAUUGUGGACAUGUAAAUGUAAAGAGAUGUAAUAGUUGUGUAUAAAGUUAGAACUUGUGCUUGACUUAGUUAUUUGUGUUGUAAAUCUUUUGUUAUGUACAUGAUCUAUAUAUGUAUAUGUUUACAGAGUAUGUGAGAAACCAGGCUUAACAGGUAUGAGUUAACCCAUCUAGAGCAAGCUCUAGUCAGGGGUACGGAGUACAGAGUACAGAGUACAGAGUACAGGGUACAGAGAUUGUGCAUGCACAGGUUAGGCCUUGGUUCAGAAAAGAGUUUUUAUUUUCACAGAAAAUGUAUGAUCAUGUAUGAGAUUUACAGGUACACAGAGAGUAUAGCAGGCUUGCUACGGGUUUUGGACCUGAAUCCUAGCGCCGGUGACGGUCCGUUUUGGGGUCGUUACAGAUUGGUAUCAAAGCCCAAGGUUCAAUAUGAUCGGACCUAUAGAGAGAGUGUCGGGCUCAUAGAGGUUAGAGAAAGUCAAGCACAAUAUGGAAACAUGUCCACUAGGAUAGAAUGUUGUGUCCUGUCUAUUUGAUGCUAUGAAAUGCUAUGAUAUGCGUAUGCAUUAUUGAGAUAUAUGAGUGAAAUAUAUGCUGAUAUGCUAUGUUAUGUGUUGUUUUCCAGAGUUAAGAUGAGAGGAACUCGUCGAUCAGCUCGAUUGACUGGAGUCCCAUCAGAGAGUGAGAGAACAGCUGCUCGUCCUCCUGCAUUGCCGAGGGCAAGGUCUCAGAGAUCUAGCAGGGAAGGUACGUCACUAGACCCUAGAAGGUCUGUAGACGAAAGCAGAAGAGGUACAGUUAGAGGGGGAAGAUCAGAGGAAAUGAGGGAGGCUAUGGAGAUUGACCAGUCUAUAGAUGAAAGCAUGGGUAUGGGUAGAUCUGAAGAAGGUAUGGGAGAGUCGCAGGGAGGUGUUCAGGCCUCAGGUUUUGGCUAUCCAACCUUUCCUCAGGACCCAGAGUAUCCGAUGGGAGGUAUGUCGGAGUACUCUAGUUUUGUCCCAUAUCCUACUUAUAUGCCAUAUAUGCCUUAUCCUCAUUAUUACCCACCAUAUCCUAUGUAUCCACCUUCCCCUACCCAUCAACAACGUUUUUUUGUGUGUGACCCAAUAGACUCACAUUAAUUGGUAAUAGGCCCAGUCCCACAAGGCCUGACUCGCGGUUGUUGAAGCCGGUCAAAAAUAACCUUUCUAAUUAUCAACAAUUUACAACUACAGAUAGUGGUGAAAGGAUCGAAUCCACAGGGAAUUGAAAACUUACCUAUUUUCCUUAUCAAGACCAAGAGAAUAAACUAAAACAAAAAUAAACUGAAAGCAAAGUAAACUGAAACGAGAUAAACUGAAAGCGGAAUAAAUUGAAAGCGAAGUAAACUGAAAGCGAGAUAAACUGAAAGCGAAAUAAAUGGAAAGCAAAAUAAACUGAAAGCUAAAUAAACUGAAACGAGAUAAACUGAAAGCGGAAUAAAAAUAAAUUGCAGUAAAAGUAAAAUGGGGGGUUUGAGAUUGAUUUGAUUAACAAACUACUGAAAGCAAUUAAAAUAAGCGAAUAAUAAAAUAAAAGAGAAACAAAUAAUAAGAAAGCUCUAGUUGAAGAAUUGGAUCCACUUCAUGUUGGGAAAUCCUGAGAUUAUUGCAACCCAGUUGCGCAGCGGAAAAAUAAAAUCUCUGUUGAUUUCCUUUCCCAGAAUCCAAGUGCUUCGUUUAAUUCAAAAGAUGGAUAUGAGACUAACCUGUUAAUCUCGUCAAGAGGAUACAAUGCCGGACUGAUGGUGCUGCCUUUUCAAACGAACACCCUCAAUGGUAUCCACACGAACGUCUUCUAUCCUUCUAGAGUGCUAGCUCUCUCAAGAAUGGAUAGAUUAUGUGCUCCACAAUCUGUAGCGGUUAGACUGAAUUUUCUCAAAAACACGUCACAUCCACAAUUCGUAGAAGAGGUAUUUAUAUGUUUCAGUCUUUUAUUUUCACACAAAUCCUUUUCCUAAAAGGAAUUGUAUUUUUCCCACAACUCCUUUUCCUAAAAAGAGUUGUGUUUAUCCCACAACUCCUUUUCCUAAAAGGAGUUGUGUUCAUAACCCACUAUCACAAUCUUGCAGAUACUCAAAUAUCUUAUAUGAUAGAAUCCUUUAUCUGUAACAGUUACAGAUAGACUGCAGAUCUUUUAAAUAUUAUUAUCUCAUAAUAAUAAAUGAUUAAUAAUAAUAACACUUUAUUAUUAUUAAUUAUAUUAAUAAUUAAUAUUAAUAAUAAUAACACUUAUUAUUAUUAAUUAUAUUAAUAAUUAAUAAUAAUAAUAAUAGCACUUUAUUAUUAUUAAUUAUAUAUUAAUAAUAAUAACACUUUAUUAUUAUUAAACAUUAAUAAUAAUAACACUUUAUUAUUAUUAAACAUAUUAAUGAUUAAUAAUAAUAACACUUAUUAUUAUUAAUUAUAUUAAUGGGCUUUGGGCUUUUAGCCCAUUAAUAUGACAUAGCACAUCAACAAUGUUCUUUUGUGUGUGACCUAAUAGGCUCACAUUAAUUGACAAUAGGCCCAGUCCCACAAGGCCCAUAAGUCAUAAGUCAUAAGUGGCCUCUAGCAAGAUAUUAUGACUACCCAACUAAUUAUGAGGAUCAAUAGUCCGAUAAAGCCUGAUAGAACAUGAAUUAAUCCCUUUGUCACACGAUAUCUAGUUUGAACAUAAGUUAUGGUCAAUGUCAAACUUAUAAUGUUCAAACUUAUGAUUUCUCGAUCUCUAAGUAGACUGAUAAAUUCAAAUGAUAUUGAUCACACUAUCAAUUCAUUUGAGCAUGGCCAUGCAUUUCUCAGUCUCACUUAUCGAGGGGCCCAGAAGAUAUCUCUCUCAUAGAGAGGGACAAAUCCUAUCUUGAUUGUUCAUUAUCCUCUACAUAAUUUCUAUUAUGCUCAAUCAUAACCUUUAUGAUUGUCCGAUUAAAGACAACGUUUGGUUAUGUCAAAACAUAAUAGUCCUUAUGUUGGAAACUAUGACAAUCUCAAGUCAAAUGAUUAAGAUAUAACUACUUUGAGAUUCACUUAUGACAAUGACCCAUGUAGUGAUCUCAAUGCGGGUCCAUCCAAUACUUUGUUCUCUAACAAGUAUUUAUGAUUAUUGAAUUAUAUCAACAUAUAUAUAAUCAUCUCAUGAUUAUCAAUCAAUAAUCAUACCAGUUAUAUUUUAUUAUUAUCAACAUAAUAAUAAGUAACCAGGGAUGAUAAUCAUUAUUAUGUAACAUGCAAACAAAUAAUAAUGAUAAAAACCUCUUUUAUUAAUAACCAAAACGACAUACAAAAAGGUCCAAGAUAAUGGCCUAGGGCAUAUACACUAACACUUCAGUUGUUGGGAUUGAUCAUUGACACUUAGUUUCUUUUGAUUGAUUCAAUAGAUUAGUUAUGGAGAUGGAAGACGCUUCUCACCACCAUGUCUCUCCUUAUGAUUAAACCAAUUAGGGAAUGUCAAUUAGGGAAUGUCCUCUAAUUAAUUACUAAUUAACAAAUUGCCAAGGAACGUCCUUGGGCCUUAGGCAUCAAACAAUUGUUAAUUGCAUAAAGAAAGAGAGAGAUCCAAUCCUAACUACUCAAACGCAUGAGAUAAUGCUAGAUCAUACAAUUUCCUUAGUUUUUACACCAAGUAUUCUUAUGUUUGAAUAAUCCAAGCAAUUACGGACUUAAAUCACCCAAACUAACAUAUUAUUACCUUGCAAUCAAGAAUCAAUUGGCCAUAUUGAUCAAAACAACAAAGCAACAAUGGAAUUAAGCAUGAGAUUGUAUGAAUAUUGAAUAACAAAAGAUAAACAAUGUUUGAUCAAGUCUCCCAAUCCAUAAAACAACUAAAGCAUCACCUAAUCUUCAACUAGAAUUAAAGAUUUCAGCCUCUCAUGGCUGAAACAAAAAUAAAAAAAUAAAGAAAAAGAAGAAAGGUAGAACAAGAGAUGUGAAUCCCGUAGGUGUCUCCAAGGGGGGCUUGAAAGAGCAUGGGGAGGCUCCUUAUGUGUCUUUUUAUACUUGAAAAUUGUUGCCCUAGAUGAUACUUGCUUCCUAAUUAGUGAAGAGGUUGCCCAAGGUGUCAAGAGGUUGCCCAAAAGACUUCAAGAGGCUGCCCAAAAUGCCCUUGGUCCAAGAUGUGCCAUCCAUGCACAUGUGAGAAGGGAAAAACGUGGGGCAUGUAUUCAAGUGCAAGGAGUGGGGCCUUUGGUCUUUGCUUGCUGCCCAAGGUGCCCAAGACUUGCCUUCACUCUCUCCUUGCCGCCCAUGCACUAAUAAAGAAGGUGGAGCCUCCUUUGCAAUUUGAAUUUUGAAUGUGCAAGGCAUGAGGUGGCAAGCAUGUGAUCUUUGGAUUUGGCUUCCUUGAUAAGCUGGAUUUUGAAAUUCAAAAUUUAAAUAUGAAUCUUGAAGAUUUGAAAUUCAAAAUGCUUUCCUUAUUUGGCUCUUCAUUUAUGACAAACAUGAGACUUGGCUUCUUGAAUAAUGAAAAGGCUACUUGGAGUUUUGAAAUUUGAAUUUCAAAUUGCCUUGGCUGAAUGUUCUUUCCAUAUUUGCCACUUUCCUUAUUUAGAACUUUCCUUAUUUAGCUUCACUUGAUUUCAACUUGGCAGGCUUGCUCCUUUGCUCCAUUUCAGGCAGUUUUAGAGGGAUUUUCUCCAAAAUGUCAUUUUACACCAUUUUCUGCAAACUAAUAUCAAAAGCACUAAAUUAAGCAGAAAUCAUGUAAAUAAUCAUCAAUAAUAUCAAGAUAAAAUGGACUAAUUUAUGCUCUAUCAAGGCCCAUAAGUCAUAAGUAGCACCUAACAAUACAUUAUCACUACCCAACUAAUAUGAGGAUCAAUAGUCCGAUAAAGUCUAAUACAUAGAACAUGUAUUAAUCCCUUUAUCACACGAUAUCUAGUUUGAACAUAAGUCAUGGUCAAUGUCAAACUUAUAAUGUUCAAACUUAUGAUUUCUCGAUCUCUAAGUAGACUGAUAAAUUCAAAUGAUAUUGAUCAUACUAUCAAUUCAUUUGAGCACGGCCAUGCAUUUCUCAGUCUCACUUAUCGAGGGGCCCAGAACAUAUCUCUCUCAGAGAGAGGGACAAAUCCUAUCUUGAUUGUUCAUUAUCCUCUACAUGAUUUCUAUUAUGCUCAAUCAUAGCCUUUAUGAUUGUUCGAUUAAAGACAAUGUUUGGUUAUGUCAAAACAUAAUAGUCCUUAUGUUGGAAACUAUGACAAUCUCAAGUCAAAGGAUUAAGACAUAACUACUUUGAGAUUCACUUAUGACAAUAACCCAUGUAGUGAUCUCAAUGCGGGUCCAUCCAAUACUUUAUUCUCAAACAAGUAUCUAUGAUUAUUGAAUUAUAUCAAUAUAUACAUAAUCAUCUCAUGAUUAUCAAUCAAUAAUCAUACUAGUUAUAUUUUAUUAUUAUCAACAUAAUAAUAAGUAACCAGGGAUGAUAAUCAUUAUUAUGUAACAUGCAAAUAAAUAAUAAUGAUAAAAACCUCUUUUAUUAACAACCAAAAGACAUACAAAAAAAGGUCCAAGAUAAUGGCCUAGGGGAUAUACACUAACACUUUUCAAACGAACACCCUUAAUGGUAUCCACACGAACGUCUUCUAUCAUUUUAGAGUGCUAGCUCUCUCAAGGAUGGAUAGAUUAUGUGCUCCACAAUCUGCAACUGUUACACUGAAUUUUCUAAAAAUCGUUGUCUCUCCACAAUUCGUAGGAGUAUUUAUAUGUUUCAGUCUUUUUUUUUCCCACAACUCUUUUCCCAAAAGAGUUGUGUUCAGAACCCACUAUCACAAUCUCACAGAUACUCAAAUAUCUUAUGUGAUAGAGUCCUUUAUCUGUAACUGUUACAGAUAGACUACAGAUCUUUUAAAUAUUAUUAUCUUAUAAUAAUAAAUAAUUAAUAAUAAUAACACUUUAUUACUAUUAAUUAAUGAUCAAUAAUAAUAACACUUUAUUAGUAUUAAUUAUAUUAAUGGACUUUGGGCUUUUAGACCAUUAAUAUGUCAUAGAACAUCAACAAUGUUCUUUUGUGUGUGACCCAAUAGGCUCACAUUAAUUGGCAAUAGGCCCAGUUCCACAAGGCCCAUAAGUCAUAAGUGGCCUCUAGCAAGACAUUAUGACUACCCAACUAAUAUGAGGAUCAAUAAUCCGAUAAAAUCUAAUAAAUAGAACAUGUAUUAAUCUCUUUGUCACAGAUAUCUAGUUUGAACAUAAGUCAUGAUCAAUGUCAAACUUAUAAUUUUCAAACAUAUGAUUUCUCGAUCUCUAAGUAGACUGAUAAAUUGAAAUGAUAUUGAUCAUACUAUCAAUUCAUUUGAGCACGGCCAUGCAUUUCUCAGUCUCACUUAUCGAGGGGCCCAGAAGAUAUCUCUCUCAGAGAGAGAGACAAAUCCUAUCUUGAUUGUUCAUUAUCCUCUACAUAAUUUCUAUUAUGCUCAAUCAUAACCUUUAUGAUUGUUCGAUUAAAGACAAUGUUUGGUUAUGUCAAAACAUAAUAGUCCUUAUGUUGGAAACUAUGACAAUCUCAAGUCAAAGGACUAAGACAUAACUACUUUGAUAUUCACUUAUGACAAUAACCCAUGUAGUGAUCUCAAUGCGGGUCCAUCCAAUACUUUAUUCUCAAACAAGUAUCUAUGAUUAUUGAAUUAUAUCAACAUAUACAUAAUAAUCUCAUGAUUAUCAGUCAAUAAUCGUACUAGUUAUAUUUUAUUAUUAUCAACAUAAUAAUAAGUAAUCAGGAAUGAUAAUCAUUAUUAUGUAACAUGCAAACAAAUAAUAAUGAUAAAAACCUCUUUUAUUAAUAACCAAAUGACAUACAAAAAAAGGUCCAAGAUAAUGGCCUAGGGCAUAUACACUAACACUUUUCAAACGAACACCCUUAAUGGUAUCCACACGAAUGUCUUCUAUCAUUCUAGAGUGCUAGCUCUCUCAAGGAUGAAUAGAUUAUGUGCUCCACAAUCUGCAACUGUUACACUGAAUUUUCUAAAAAUCGUUGUCUCUCCAUAAUUCGUAGGAGUAUUUAUAUGUUUCAGUCUUUUUUUUCCCACAACUCUUUUCCCAAAAGAGUUGUAUUCAGAAUCCACUAUCACAAUCUCACAGAUACUCAAAUACCUUAUGUGAUAGAGUCCUAUAUCUUAUGUGAUAGAGUCCUUUAUCUGUAACUAUUACAGAUAGACUGCAGAUCUUUUAAAUAUUAUUAUCUUAUAAUAAUAAAUAAUGAAUAAUAAUAACACUUUAUUAUUAUUAAUUAUAUUAAAGGACUUUGGGCUUUUAGCCCAUUAAUAUGUCAUAGCACAUCAACAAUGUUCUUUUGUGUGUGACCCAAUAGGCUCACAUUAAUUGGCAAUAGGCCCAGUCCCACAAGGCCUAUAAGUCAUAAGUGGCCUCUAGCAAGACAUUAUGACUACCCAACAAAUAUGAGGAUCAAUAAUCCGAUAAAAUCUAACAAACAGAACAUGUAUUAAUCCCUUUGUCACACGAUAUCUAGUUUGAACAUAAGUCAUGGUCAAUGUCAAACUUAUAAUGUUCAAACUUAUGAUUCCUCGAUCUCUAAGUAGACUGAUAAAUUCAACUGAUAUUCAUCAUACUGUCAAUUCAUUUGAGCACGGCCAUGCAUUUCUCAGUCUCACUUAUCGAGGGGCCCAAAAGAUAUCUCUCUCAAAUAGAGGCACAAAUCCUAUCUUGAUUGUUCAUUAUCCUCUACAUAAUUUCUAUUAUGCUCAAUCAUAACCUUUAUGAUUGUUCGAUUAAAGACAAUAUUUGGUUAUGUCAAAACAUAAUAGUCCUUAUGUUGGAAACUAUGACAAUCUCAAGUCAAAGGAUUAAGACAUAACUACUUUAAGAUUCACUUAUGACAAUAACCCAUGUAGUGAUCUCAAUGCGGGUCCAUCCAAUACUUUAUUCUCUAACAAGUAUCUAUGAUUAUUGAAUUAUAUUAACAUAUAUUUAAUCAUCUCAUGAUUAUCAAUAAAUAAUCGUACUAGUUAUAUUUUAUUAUUAUCAACAUAAUAAUAAGUAAUCAGGGAUGAUAAUCAUUAUUAUGUUACAUGCAAAUAAAUAAUAAUAAUAAAAACCUCUUUUAUUAAUAACCAAACGACAUACAAAAAAAGGUCCAACAUAAUGGCCUAGGGCAUAUACACUAACACUUUUCAAACGAACACCCUUAAUGGUAUCCACACGAACGUCUUCUAUCCUUCUAGAGUGCUAGUUCUCUCAAGGAUGGAUAGAUUAUGUCCUCCACAAUCUGCAACUGUUAGAUUGAAUUUUCUAAAAAUCGUUGUCUUUCCACAAUUUGUAGGAGUAUUUAUAUGUUUCAGUCUUUUUUUUUCCCACAACUCUUUUCCCAAAAGAGUUGUGUUCAGAACCCACUAUCACAAUCUUACAGAUACUCAAAUAUCUUAUGUGAUAGAGUCCCUUAUCUAUAACUGUUACAGAUAGACUGCAGAUCUUUUAAAUAUUAUUAUCUUAUAAUAAUAAAUAAUUAAUAAUAAUAACACUUUAUUAUUAUUAAUUAAUGAUUAAUAAUAAUAACACUUUAUUAUUAUUAAUUAUAUUAAUGGACUUUGGGCUUUUAGCCCAUUAAUAUGUCAUAGCACAUCAACAAUGUUCUUUUGUGUGUGACCCAUUAGGCUCACAUUAAUUGGCAAUAAGCCCAGUCCCACAAGGCCCAUAAGUCAUAAGUGGCCUCUAGCAAGACAUUAUGACUACCCAACUAAUAUGAGGAUCAAUAGUCUGAUAAAGUCUAAUAAAUAGAACAUGUAUUAAUCCCUUUAUCACACGAUAUCUAGUUUGAACAUAAGUCAUGGUCAAUGUCAAACUUAUAAUGUUCAAACUUAUGAUUUCCCGAUCUCUAAGUAGACUGAUAAAUUCAAAUGAUAUUGAUCAUACUAUCAAUUCAUUUGAGCACGGCCAUGCAUUUCUCAGUCUCACUUAUCGAGGGGUCCAGAACAUAUCUCUCUCACAGAGAGGGACAAAUCCUAUCUUGAUUGUUCAUUAUCCUCUACAUAAUUUCGAUUAUGCUCAAUCAUAACCUUUAUGAUUGUUCGAUUAAAGACAAUGUUUGGUUAUGUCAAAACAUAAUAGUCCUUAUGUUGGAAACUAUGACAAUCUCAAGUCAAAAAAUUAAGACAUAACUACUUUGAGAUUCACUUAUGACAAUAACCCAUGUAGUGAUCUCAAUGCGGGUUCAUCCAAUACUUUAUUCUCUAACAAGUAUCUAUGAUUAUUGAAUUAUAUCAACAUAUACAUAAUCAUUUCAUGAUUAUCAAUCAAUAAUCGUACUAGUUAUAUUUUAUUAUUAUCAACAUAAUAAUAAGUAACCAGGGAUGAUAAUCAUUAUUAUAUAACAUGCAAACAAAUAAUAAUGAUAAAAACCUCUUUUAUUAAUAACCAAACGACAUACAAAAAAAGGUCCAAGAUAAUGGCCUAGGGCAUAUACACUAACACUUUUCAAACGAACACCUUUAAUGUUAUCCACACGAACGUAUUCUAUCCUUCUAGAGUGCUAGCUCUCUCAAGGAUGGAUAGAUUAUGUGCUUCACAAUCUGCAACUGUUAGACUGAAUUUUCUAAAAAUCGUUGGCUUUUCACAAUUCGUAGCAGUAUUUAUAUGUUUCAGUCUUUUUUUUUCCUACAACUCUUUUCCCAAAAGAGUUGUGUUCAGAACCCACUAUCACAAUCUCACAGAUACUCAAAUAUCUUAUGUGAUAUAGUCCUUUAUCUGUAAUUGUUACAGAUAGACUGCAGAUCUUUUAAAUAUUUUUAUCUUAUAAUAAUAAAUAUCUAAUAAUAAUAACACUUUAUUAUUAUUAAUUAAUGAUUAAUAAUAAUAACACUUUAUUAUUAUUAAUUAUAUUAAAGGACUUUGGGCUUUUAGCCCAUUAAUAUGUCAUAGCACAUCAACAAUGUUUUUUUGUGUGUGACCCAAUAGGCUCACAUUAAUUGGCAAUAGGCCCAGUCCCACAAGGCCCAUAAGUCAUAAGUGGCCUCUAGCAAGAUAUUAUGACUACCCAACUAAUAUGAGGAUCAAUAGUCCGAUAAAGCUUAAUAAAUAGAACAUGUAUUAAUCCAUUUGUCACACAAUAUCUAGUUUGAAUAUAAGUCAUGGUCAAUGUCAAACUUAUAAUGUUCAAACUUAUGAUUUCUCAAUCUCUAAGUAGACUGAUAAAUUCAAAUGAUAUUGAUCACACUAUCAAUUCAUUUGAGCACGGCCAUGCAUUUCUCAAUCUCACUUAUCGAGGGGCCCAGAAGAUAUCUCUCUCAGAGAGAGGGAUAAAUCCUAUCUUGAUUGUUCAAUAUCCUCUACAUAAUUUCUAUUAUGCUCAAUCAUAACCUUUAUGAUUGUCCGAUUAAAGACAAUGUUUGGUUAUGUCAAAACAUAAUAGUCCUUAUAUUGGAAACCAUGACAAUCUCAAGUUAAAGGAUUUAGACAUAACUACUUUGAGAUUCACUUAUGACAAUAACCCAUGUAGUGAUCUCAAUGCGGGUCCAUCCAAUACUUUGUUCUCUAACAAGUAUCUAUGAUUAUUGAAUUAUAUCAUCGUAUACAUAAUCAUCUCAUGAUUAUCCAUCAAUGAUCAUGUUAGCUAUAUUUUAUUAUUAUUAACAUAAUAAUAAGUAACCAGGGAUGAUAAUCAUUAUUAUGUAACAUGCAAACAAAUAAUGAUAAUAAAAACCUCUUUUAUUAAUAACCAAAAGGACAUACAAAAAGGUCCAAGAUAAUGGCCUAGGACAAAUACACUAACAGGAGUUCCACCUAAAAAUGAGGGCAUGGAUGCCCUUCCUCCUACUGCUCCGUCAAGAGCACGGUCGAGUAGGACUAAUAGGGGUGAAAUAUCAAGGGACCCUAGAAGGUCUUUUGAUGUAAACAGAAGAAGAACAGAUUCGGGAAGGAUGUCUACAGAUAUUAGGGAAACAGUGGAGGAUGAUCAAAGAAGAGACGAAAGUCUGGGUGUGAGUUUUUCAAGAGAGGGUAUGGGAGAAUCUGAAGGAGGCGCUCAAGCCUCGGGAUUUGCUUACCAACCCUACCCACAGAGACCCAGGUAUCCAAUGGGAGGCCCAUCGGAUUACUCUAGCUAUCACCUAUACCCCUCACACAUGCCUUAUCCUCCCUAAUACCCACCAUAUCCACCCUAUCCCAUGUUUUCACCUCCACCCUUUUAUUACCAUAAUCCAGCAAACCCUAAUCCAAGGAAUGCUACACCACCUCCUCCCCCAGCAGAGCCAGUGAUUCCUAAAGCUCAACCACCCAAACCUAACCCAUUAGUAGGGAGCAAAGUCAAAAUUACAGAUUACAUGAAGUUGGAUGCUCCAAAGUACAAAUAGGGUGAUGACCUAUUUGAAUACAUCAAAGCAAUUAAGAUGAUAGCCGAUAAGUUAGGGGCCAGUGACAGCAGAGCCAUUCAGAUGGCAGGGCUCACUCUAAAGUGCAAGAAAGCAAAGGAAUGGUUCAAGAGUUAUGUGGACUCGAAACUAGAUAGCCUAUCUUGGGAACAGUUUGCAAAUGAGUUUACAGGGUGGGCUUUUCCAAACAGUUCGAGGGAAUUGAAAGUAAUAGAGUUUGAGUAGUGUAAUACCCGGCUAGGCUCCGGUAUUGAAAUUCCUACCAUCCGGUGGAAUCUCGAAUGUCGAAAACUUCUAGAAAGGUAAAGUCAUGUUUUCAUAAGAUGUUUUAAGGUAUUUUAUGGUUUUAAGCAAGAAAGGAAAUGAGUUUUGUAUGAAAAUAAUCUUGGAAGAAGACCCAGGUUCGGCCGCUGAACCUCAAGUUCGGCCGCCGAACCUCAAGUUCGGCUGCCGAACAUGCAUGCAUUUCGGGAGUGCUUUAGGCCCCCGAAGGUAUGAGAGAGGGAAAUCCAGGUUCGACCGCCGAACAUGGCAUGCAUGCGGAGGCACGUUAGGCCCUCGAAAGUGGCCUGGCCAGCCACCUAUAAAGGGGUCCCCAUGUCCGAACGGGUGAGCUUUUCUCCCCGUUUUAGGCCAAGGUGAGUUCUCCGCUGUCCCUCAUCGAUUUUGAGCUUCUUCCUUCGAAUCUUCAUGAUUUUCUUAUGAGUUUUCACUUGGUUUUGAAGAUUUUGAGCUUAGAUCGAAGUUGUGAAGCUUGGAGACCUCAAGAACCCAUCCUCCCCAAAUCUCCAAGUUAGGUCACACUCUCUCUCGAUCUUCAAGAGGUAAGAGUUGAUCUUGAGCUCAUUCUAUGUUUUAAACAAGUUUUAAGAGGAUUCAUGGGGCAGAAAUGCAUGUUUAGGUUAUUGUUGAGUUUAUGGGUUUAUGUUAUCUUUAUGAGCAAUGUGGGUAAUAUGUGUAUGUUUGAUGUGUUUUGGUUGGGGUUUAAGUUAGUUUGAGACCCCUAUGUGCUUGUUGGCUUGAGUUUGCAUGUUGUAGACUUGAGUUUGCAUGUUGUAGACUAGGUAAAUGCAUGAUGGAAUGGAUUGGGAGGCAUUUGUGCAUGAAAGAGGCUGAGUUCUGCCCUUUGGAAGAACUCAAGUUCGGCAGCCGAAGGGACUUUCGGCCGCCGAACCUGCCUAUGGAGGCCAGCCUUUGGCUGCCGAACCCUGCCCUCGAAAGUGAACUUUCGGCUCUGGAAGGGAGUUUUGGCCGCCGAAGAUGCCGUCGAACAUGCAUGAGUUUCAUCUCUGGAGGGAACCUUCGGCCGCCGAAAGUGCCGCCGAAGGUGCAUGACUUUCGGCUCUGGAGGGCCUUUCGGCCGCCGAACCUACCGCCGAAAGUGCCCUGUCCAGCCUUCCUUUGCAUGAUUUCUAUGAUUGUUUUAAGGUGUUUUAGGGGGUUUUUGGGGAGUAUUUUAGAGUCAUGUUCAUGGAUGUUUGGUCCCUCAUUUGAGUCCACCUGUGUAGGUUCGGACCCAAGGAACCGAGGGCCUCAGCAGUGAGAUAGCUGCUUCAGAGUCAUUAGAGCUUCAGCCAAAGGUGAGUGGAAUAACUCUUUAUGUUUCAAAGCAAUUAAAUAAAUUUUGAGCAUGAUACAUGCAUCACGUAUGCCAUGAGAUAUACUAGGUUAUUUGCAUUAGAAUUCACGAAUAUGUUGCAUUGCAUAACUUGAUGAUGAUGUGGAUGGAUGUUGAAUGACCCUUUAGUCCUCGUAGGAUAUGAUAUGAUGAUGAUACGGUAUGGAAGACCAGUGAGGCCCAUUCUACGCCCCUGGCAUAGUUGGAAUGUUAUGUUAUGUUAUGUUAUGUAAGAGAAAGACUAGUGAGGCACAUUCUACGCCCCUGGCACAGUUGGACUAUGUAGAGGACUAUUGGUGACAAGUCCAUCCUUGAUGUGAUUUGUUUGUGAUGUGUUGCAUUUCAUGAAAGCAUGAAAUUUAAAUUGAAUGUUUAUUUAUUCUGCUCACUGGGCUUUAUAGCUCACCCCUCUCCCUUAACCCCCAGGUUUGCAGGUACAGGGUAGACCAGGAGGUCAGCAGGAGUAGAGUCAUGUUUUAUGUAAUAGUUAGAUGUGGACAUGAAUAUGAUGUAAUGUAAAAGUAUAGUAUAGAAAUGUAAUAUAAUGAUGCUUAUGGAAGUUUAGAGUUAUGCUUGACCAUAGUAUGUUGUUAAUCCCUUUUCAGUACAUGAUCUUAAAUGUUUAAUGAUGAUUAUGUAAACCAAGCUUAAUGUAUGUUAUGAUACCCCAUUGGAGUAUUUGAUGAGGACUCCAGUGAGAGGUUUUAUGUUAUGAUUUGUGCAUGCACAGGUUAAGCUUGGUGAAGGAAUGAAUGAAUGAAUGAAUGAAUGAAUGAAUAAAUGAGAAAGUUUUAAAUUUUUAUGUAAUUGUUGAUCAUGUAUGGGAUUAAACAGGCUUGCUACGGGUCGCGGCGGCCUUAAGCCGAUCUGGAUCCUAGCGUCGGUAGCGGUCCGAAUUUCGGCUCGUUACAGAUUGGUAUCAGAGCCCUAGGUUCAUAUGGUUAGACCUAGAGUGUCGGGCUCAUAGAUGUUCUAGAAGGUCAAGCACAAUAGGAAGAUCAUGUCCACUAGGAUAGGAUGUAGAGUCCUGUCUUGAAUGAUGAUGUGAAAUGCCAUGAUAUUAUGCAUGUGCAUUGAUGAUAUGCUAUGUAUGUGAUGCGGGUUCAUGUGUUUUCACAUGAACCAUUUGAUGCUAAUGUUGUGCUAUGUGUGCUGUUUUUCAGUAAACAAGAUGAGAGGAACUCGUCGAUCUACACGAUUGACUGGAGUACCACCGGAGGAUGAGGGCAUGAGUGCCCGUCCCCCUGCAUUGCCAAGGGCAAUGUCUAGCAGGUCUAGCAGGGAAAGAGCAGUGAGAGACCCUAGAAGGUCUUUGGAUAUGAACAGAAGCAGAUCAGUAAGAGGAACAGUUCAAGGAAGAAUGUCAGAGGAUGUGGGGGAUGAUAUAGAUGUGGAUCAGAGGAGGGAUGGCAGUCUUGGAGUGAGUAUGUCGGAAGAGGGCAUGGGAGAGUCCCAAGGAGGCACUCAGGCCUCAGGAUUUGUUCAGCCACCCCAGUACCCACCCUUUUCUCAGAAUCUAGGGUAUUCGAUGGGAGGUACAUCGGAUUACCCCAGCUUUAGCCCUUACCACUCACACAUGCCAUACCCACCUUUCUACCCACAGUACCCUAUGUACCCACCCCUAUCCUUCUACCCAGGUACAGCAAACCCUACCCCAGGGGAUGCUGCACCUCUUACACCACCAACAGCACCUACUGUCCUAGAAACCCAAAUGCCUAAACCUAGCUCAUCUGGAGGGAGCAAGGUCAAGAUGACCGACUACAUGAAGCUGGUUGCUCCUCAGUAUGAAACCGGUGAUGACCCGUUUGUGUACCUUGAGAGGGUCAAAACGAUUACAGAUGAGAUAGGAGCUGAUGACAGUAAAGCCAUUCAGAUGGUUGGGUUCACACUAAAAUGCAAGAAGGCCCGUGAGUGGUUCAAGAACUAUGUGAACCCGAGAUUGGACAGCCUAUAAUGGGAGGAGUUUGCAAAUGAGUUUGCAGGAUGGGCUUUCCCUAACAGUUCAAGGGAGUUGAAGAUGAUUGAAUUUGAGCAGUUGAGGCAGUCAGAUGAGAUGAGUGUGGAUGAGUAUACAGACAGAUUCUUGGAGCUGUUGCCGUUUGCUGGGCAGAAUCUGGACACAGAUCAGAAGAAGUCAAGGAGGUAUAUCAUGAGGCUCCAUUCCAGGUAUUCCUCCUUGAUUCAGUCAGCGAGAGGGAGAGUUUUCAUGCCAUUGUGGAUAUGGCUCAGAGGAUGGAGGCUAGUGCAAUAAUCGAGGGAAAAGUUAAACAGCCAGUGGCACAGCCUUCUGGUUCCAAGACCCUUGGUGGGGGCAAGUUAGACCCUUCUUCUCUGAGUUCAGCUAGUAAGAGGUGGAGCAGUACCGCCAAGAAGUCAAAGAAGAACAAGUUCUGGAGCAAGAUUAAGUCAGGUCUGGGAUUGGGAAGUGGCUCGAGCUCAGGUGCAGAUAAUGCAGUAUGUAGGAAGUGUGGGAAGCCGUACAAGGGUGUAUGUCUGGUUGGGACGACAGCCUGCUUCAAAUGUGGGCAGAAGGGACACAUGGCUCGGGAGUGUCCUAGAGCAGCUAUUAUGGCACAGUCUCAGCAGAUAGCUUCUGGUAGUGUGGCUCAACCAGUAGCUCCAGCCGCGACUCAGGCCAGUGGCAGAGGCAGAGGGAGAGGGGCAGCCUCUUCUUCAGCGGGUUUCAGAGGUGAAGGUCCAUCAGCCCCAGCACGGAUCUUCACAAUGACACAGCAGGAGGCAAAUGCAUCAAACACCGUGGUGGCAGGUAAUCUCAUCAUUAGUUGUUCUGAUGUUUAUGCCUUAAUGGACCCUGGUGCAUCACAUUCUUUUAUUGCUCCAAGGGCCAUUGAGAGGUUGGGAUUGAUGGUCUCUGGGUUAGAGUGUCCCCUAUGGGUCAGUGGACCCAAGUGCGCCCCGUCAGUGGCAGAGUCAGUCUGCCAGUAUAGUCCAGUUUUUGUUGAGGGAAGAUGCCUUUCAGCCGACCUUAUGGUUCUAGAUUUGACAGAUUUUGACGUCAUUCUAGGGAUGGAUUGGCUAUCUACCCAUGGUGCUACCUUGGACUGCAGAGACAAGGUAGUCAAGUUCAGAUGUCAGGAUGGGUCAGAGGUUGUCUUCAGAGGAGACAGGGGGAGUACACCUAGAGGUUUGACAUCAGCCCUUCAGGCUCGUAGGUUGCUCAUGAGGGGUUGUCAAGGUUUUCUGGCUCAUGUGAGAGAGCUGGAUAGUCAUGUGAGGGAGCCCGCCUCAAUGCCCGUGGUCAGAGAGUUUUUAGACAUUUUCCCAGACGAGCUGCCAGGUUUACCACCUGCUAGGGAGAUAGAGUUUGAAAUUGAGUUGAUGCCUAGAACCAGACCGAUCUCUAUCCCUCCCUACAGGAUGGCACCAGCAGAAUUGAAGGAGCUUAAGGAGCAGUUGCAAGAGUUGGUAGAUAGAGGCUUCAUCCGACCGAGUACCUCACCUUGGGGUGCUCCAGUGUUGUUUGUGAAGAAGAAGGAUGGAUCCCUCAGACUUUGUAUCGACUACAGGCAAUUGAACAAGGUCACUACCAAGAAUAAGUACCUGUUGCCGAGGAUCGACGAUCUAUUCGACCAGUUAGCAGGAGCAGGUUGUUUCUCCAAAAUAGAUCUGAGAUCUGGGUACCAUCAGCUGAGGAUAAGAGAAGAGGAUGUGCUGAAGACAGCAUUCAGGACCAGAUAUGGGCACUAUGAGUUCCUUGUGAUGCCGUUCGGGUUAACCAAUGCCCCUGCAGCAUUCAUGGAUCUCAUGAAUAGAGUUUUCAGUCAAUACCUGGAUCACUUUGUUAUUGUCUUCAUAGAAGAUAUCUUAGUGUAUUCCAGGAAUGCAGAGGAGCAUGCCCAUCAUCUGAGGUUGGUUUUGCAAACCUUGAGGGAACACGGCUUGUAUGCCAAGUUCUCUAAGUGUGAGUUCUGGUUGAGGAGCAUUUCAUUCUUGGGGCAUGUUGUGUCAGAAAAUGGAAUAGAGGUGGACCCUAAGAAAGUGGAAGUUGUAGCUAACUGGCCUAGACCCACUACAGUGACAGAGAUCAAGAGCUUUUUAGGUUUGGCAGGUUACUACAGGAGGUUCAUACAGGACUUUUCAAAAAUUGCAGCUCCUAUGACCAGACUGACUAAGAAGAACCAAAGGUUUGUGUGGACCGACCAGUGUGAGGAGAGCUUUGAGGAGCUAAAGAAGAGGUUGACUUCAGCACCAGUGUUAGCUCUGCCAACUAGUAAUGAAGACUUCACGGUUUUCUAUGAUGCGUCCCGUGUGGGACUGGGUUGUGUGUUGAUGCAGAAUGAAAGGGUGAUUGCUUAUGCUUCUAGGCAGCUGAAGAAGCACGAGUUGAAUUACCCUACACAUGACCUAGAGAUGGCAGCUGUAAUCUUUGCACUCAAGAUGUGGAGGCACUACCUUUAUGGGGUAAAAUGUGAGAUCUUUACAGAUCAUAAGAGCCUGCAGUACAUCCUGAGUCAGAUAGAGCUGAAUUUGAGGCAGAGAAGAUGGGUAGAACUGCUCAGUGACUAUGAUUGCAAGAUUCAGUACCAUCCGGGUAAGGCAAAUGUUGUGGCAGACGCCUUAAGCCGGAAAUCACUUGGCAGUUUGUCCCAUAUUUCAGCAGAGAGAAGACCAAUGGUGAGGUAGUUCUUCGAGCUCAUUAAUGAAGGUCUACAGUUGGAGUUGUCUGGUACAGGUGCUUUGAUUGCCCAAAUGAGAGUGGCACCCGUGUUUCUGGAGCAGGUGGCUCAGAAAUAGCAUGAGGACCCAGAGUUAGUGAAGAUUGCCAGGACUAUUCAGUCAGCCAAGAAUGAAGAGUUCAGGUUUGACAGUAAGGGGAUCCUCCGCUAUGGGAAUAGAUUGUGUGUACCAGAUGACGUGAGUCUGAAGGGAGACAUUAUGAGGGAGGCUCAUAAUGCCAGAUACAGUGUUCACCCGGGAGCCACCAAAAUGUAUCAAUAUCUGAGAAGAGUUUAUUGGUGGCCAGCUAUGAAGAGAGAAGUGGCACAGUUUGUGUCAGCCUGCGAAAUAUGUCAGAGGGUGAAGCUGGAAUAUCAGAAGCCGGCUGGAAUGCUUAACCCACUACCUAUUCCAGAGUGGAAAUGCGAGAAUAUAGCUAUGGACUUCGUGGUGGGGUUACCGGCAUCAUCCAACAGGUUAGACUCCAUAUGGGUGAUUGUGGACAGACUGACCAAAUCUGCUCACUUCAUCCCUGUCAGGAGUGGCUAUUCUGAGGACAAGUUGGCGCAGGUGUAUGUAGAUGAGGUUGUCAGGUUGCAUGGGGUUCAUGUUUCAAUAGUGUCUGAUAGAGGACCCCAGUUCACCUCCAGGUUUUGGCGGAGUCUGCAAAAUGCUAUGGGUACCAGGUUGGAUUUUAGCACUGCUUUCCAUCCACAGACGGACGGACAGUCAGAGAGGACCAUCCAGACAAUAGAGGAUAUGCUCAGUAUGUGUGUGCUGGAUUUUGGCGGUUCUUGGAGGCCGCAUCUACCCUUGGUGGAGUUUGCCUACAAUAACAGCCAUCAUGCUAGCAUAGGGAUGGUUCCAUAUGAAGCUUUGUAUGGAAGGAAGUGCAGGUCACCUGUUUGCUGGGAAGAAGUUGGAGAAAGGGCCUUGACAGGGCCUGAGCUUGUAGAGAUCACCAGCAGAGUGGUGCCCAUAAUCAGAGAAAGAAUCAGGACUGCUGCAAGCAGGCAAAAGAGUUAUGCAGAUAUCCGCAGAAGGCAAAUAGAGUUUCAGGAGGGGGAUUUGGUAUUGCUCAAGGUGUCUCCAAUGAAAGGGGUGAUUCGGUUCGGGAAGAAAGGUAGCUACCUCCACUGUACAUCGGACCCUUUGAGAUCUUGCAAAAGAUUGGGAAUGUAUCGUAUAAGCUAGAUUUACCUGCUUCAAUGGAGAGAAUCCAUCCGGUUUUCCAUGUUUCUAUGCUACGAAAGUUUGUGUCAGAUCCGGGUAAGGUUCUUAGUGAGCCUGAUGUGGAGGUCCAAAAGGAUCUCACUUAUGUUGAGCAGCCAGUGCGGAUUCUUGACACUCAGAUCAAAAAGUUAAGGAACAAGGAAAUCUCGAUGGUGAAAGUCCUUUGGAAUCACCACAACAUCGAAGAGUGUACCUGGGAGACACGGGAGUCCAUGCUCCAGCAAUAUCCUCAUCUCUUUUAAGGUAAGUGUUAUGUGUUUUAUGUAAAUGUUUAUGUUUUAUGCCAUGCUAUGUUUGUUUGGUGAACAUUCGGGGACGAAUGUUCUUAAGGGGGGGAGAAUGUAAUACCCGGCUAGACUCCGGUAUCGGAAUUCCUACCGUCCGGUGGAAUCUCGGAUGUCGAAACCUCUAGAAGGGUAAAGUCAUGUUUUCAUAAGAUGUUUUAAGGUAUUUUAUGGUUUUAAGCAAGAAAGGAAAUGAGUUUUGUAUGAAAAUAACCUCGGAAGAAGACCCAGGUUCGGCCGCCGAACCUCAAGUUCGGCUGUCGAACAUGCAUGCAUUUCGGGAGUGCUUUAGGCCCCCGAAGGUAUGAGAAAGGGAAGUCCAGGUUCGGCCGCCGAACCUUAUGUUCGGCCGCCGAACAUGGCAUGCAUGCGGAGGCACGUUAGGCCCCCGAAAGUGGCCUGGCCAGCCACCUAUAAAGGGGUCCCCAUGUCCGAACGGGUGAGCUUUUCUCCCCGUUUUUGAGUUCUCCGCUGUCCCUCAUCGAUUUUGAGCUUCUUCCUUCGAAUCUUCAUGAUUUUCUUAUGAGUUUUCACUUGGUUUUGAAGAUUUCGAGCUUAGAUCGAAGUUGUGAAGCUUGGAGACCUCAGGAACCCAUCCUCCCCAAAUCUCCAAGUUAGGUCACACUCUCUCUCGAUCUUCAAGAGGUAAGAGUCGAUCUUGAGCUCAUUCUAUGUUUUAAACAAGUUUUAAGAGGAUUCAUGGGGCAGAAAUGCAUGUUUAGGUUAUUGUUGAGUAUAUGGGUUUAUGUUAUGUUUAUGAGCAAUGUGGGUAGUAUGUGUAUGUUUGAUGUGUUUUGGUUGGGGUUUAAGUUAGUUUGAGACCCCUAUGUGCUUGUUCGCUUGAGUUUGCAUGUUGUAGACUAGGUAAAUGCAUGAUGGAAUGGAUUGGGAGGCAUUUGUGCAUGAAAGAGGCUGAGUUCUGCCCUUUGGAAGAACUCAGGUUUGGCAGCCGAAGAGACUUUCGGCCGCCGAACCUGCCUGUGGAGGCCAGCUUUUGGCUGCCGAACCCUACCCCCGAAAGUGAACUUUCGGCUCUGGAAGGGAGUUUCGGCCGCCGAAGGUGCCGCCGAACAUGCAUGAGUUUCGUCUCUGGAGGGAACCUUCGGCUGCCGAAAGUGCCGCCGAAGGUGCAUGACUUUCGGCUCUGGAGGGCCUUUCGGCCGCCGAACCUGCCGCCGAAAGUGCCCUGUCCAGCCUUCCUUUGCGUGAUUUCUAUGAUUGUUUUAAGGUGUUUUAGGGGGUUUUUGGGGAGUAUUUUAGAGUCAUGUUCAUGGAUGUUUGGUCCCUCAUUUGAGUCCACCUGUGUAGGUUCGGACCCGAGGAACCGAGG
RNAcentral lists this long non-coding RNA (45965 nucleotides) under Manihot esculenta (cassava). RNAcentral describes it as "long non-coding RNA (MESC_LNC006459)". The record is from RNAcentral. Lineage: Eukaryota; Viridiplantae; Streptophyta; Magnoliopsida; Malpighiales; Euphorbiaceae.